This 44595-nucleotide long non-coding RNA is filed under the name Zea mays. RNAcentral describes it as "long non-coding RNA (ZMAY_LNC004473)". Lineage: Eukaryota; Viridiplantae; Streptophyta; Magnoliopsida; Poales; Poaceae. The record is from RNAcentral.
AGGACCAGACUUCAUUCCGAGUGAAGUUGUUUAACUCCUCUUGCAUUGCGAUUAUCCAAUCCGGAUCACCCAGCGCUUCUUCAACCUUAAGUGGCUCAAGAGAGGAAACAAACGAGUAAAAUUCACAAAAAUUUGCUAAACGAGAUCUAAUUGUUACCCCUCUUUUGAUACUCCCAAGAAUGUUGUCCACUGGAUGAUCUCUUUGGAUGGUAUGGUGGACUCGAGGAUGGGGCACUGAUGGUUGUCUUUAAAUUUGUUCUUCAUCAUUAUCCACUUGAUCAAGAGGCACUUCAUCAACAACAACUUCAGGUUCAUCUUCCACCAUGGUUGGCAUCUUUUGGGGUUGAUGAACUUCUUCAAGAAUUGGAUGACUUGAGGUUGAUGGGUUUGCUUGAGUGGAGGAUUUAUCACCCACCACCUUUGCGCCCACAUCAAAGACCUCAUUUGUCAUCCACAAGGUUCCUUCUUCAUCAUCCUUUUCUUGUGGUCUCACUUCACCUAUUGCAAGCUUCUUUAUGGCCUCACAAGGUGGUUCUUCAUUUCCUGCAAUAUCAUUGGAAACAUGCCCUUGCGAGCCAUUAGAUUCAUCAAAUGUCAUGUCUAUCGCUAUUUCAACAAGACCGGUGGUAUUGUUGAAAACACGAUAUACAUGUGCAUUUUAUGCAUAACCAAGCAAGAAACCCUCGUCCACUCUAGGAGCAAACUUUGAGCUCUUGACUUUCUUGUUAAGAAUAAAGCAUUUACAACCAAAAACUCUAAAGUAAUCCACUUUAGGUUUGUUACCAGUGAGAAGCUCAUAAGCAGUCUUCUUAUAGACCUUAUAAAGAUAUAGCCGGUUGAUUGCAUGACAGGCGGUGUUGACCGCCUCAGCCUAGAAGUUGUCAGGUGUCUUGUAUUCAUCUAACAUGGUUCUUGCGGCUUCAAUUAGUGUUCUAUUUUUCCUCUCCACUACACCAUUUUGUUGUGGAGUGUAGGGGACCGAGAACUCAUGUUUGAUUCUUUCUUCGCUUAAGAAUUCUUCAACACCUGUAUUCUUGAACUAUGUCCCAUUGUCACUUCUCACUUUCUUGAUUUUAAGCUCAAACUCAUUUUGAGCUCUUCUCAUGAAUUUCUUCAAAGUCUCUUGGGUUUCACCUUUGUCACUCAAAAAGAAAACCCAGGUGAAGCGAGAAAAAUCAUCAACAAUAACUAAACCAUACUUACUUCCACCAAUACUAAUGUAGGCCACAAGUCCGAAGAGGUCCAUGUGAAGAAGCUCCAAAGGCCUCUUGGUUGUGACCACAUUCUUUGAUUGAUGUGGAACGCCAUGUUUCUUCCCUGCUUGACAUGCGCUACAUACCCUACGCAACAUUUGUUAGUCCAAUGAUGUGACUAUCUUUUUGAAGUUUGGCCAAAUUCCUCAUGCCGACAUGAGCUAGCCGGCGAUGCCAUAACCAACCCUUGUCGGAUUUUGCCACUAAACAAGUCUCAGGCGUCACCUUACUUGUUGUCAAAUCAACAAGAUAAAGUUUGCCCUUCAAGCGACCCGUAAAAGCAACUGAGGAAUCCUCCCUUCUAAGGAUCUUCACAUCCACAACAGAAAAUAGACAGUUAUAUCCCAUUCCACAAAGUUGUGAAACAGACGUCAAAUUGUAGCUUAGAGAAUCUACUAGCAAAACAUUUGAAAGUGAUUGUUGGUCAGAGAUAAGAAUUUUACCAAUACCAAUCACUUUACUCUUGCCACUAUCUCCAAACACAAUUUCUUGUGCUUCUUGAGUUAGUUGCAAGGAGUGAAACAUGUCUUUCUCCCCGGUCAUGUGAUUUGUACAUCCACUGUCAUGCACCCAGCUUGACCCACCAGAGGAGUAGACCUGCAAAACAAAUUUAGGCUAUGCUUUUAGGUACCCAAAUUGAAUUGGGUCCUACAGUGUUAGUUAUAGCCUUGGGUACCCACACACUUCUUUUCAUGACCUUUCUCUUAGUGUGGGCACCCACAUAUUUAACAACCAAUUUUCCUGAAUCCCAAGUCAACAUAUAAUCACAAUUGUGAUUGGAAUGAGAAAUGGGAGCUCUAAACUUUUCUCCAUUUGUGGAGACCGCAUCCUUCAUCUUAUCCUUUGUUGAACUCAAGUUUACCUUUACUUGAGUUGACUUGUCAUUUGAGGAGUGAAUCCUCCCCAAGGCAUCAUAUAGGGUGGUUCCCUCUAUGAACUUGGGGGAUCUCCACCCCUUAUGCUAUAUGCUAGGUUUACCUUAUAUGAGUUGUACCCAAGCCCCUUUCUCCCAUUGUUGGGCUUCAGGGACUUCUACUUAGGCUCAACUUUCUUUAACCCAUCAUUGCUAGAGCAUUUCUUCAAUAUUUCUUUGACCUUAACCUGUGGGCUUUUCUUCCUUGCAUGAUUAGUCAAACAACAAGAAGCAUGGUAUUUUGUACAAUGUUUACAAACAUUAUUAUUUGAGAAGCUAGCUUUAGACUCUUCCACUAAAGAUGAAGUGUUGAAGUUCUUGCAGUUUUCAAGUUGCACUUGAAGUUCUUGAUUUUCAACUGUUAAGCAUGACAAGCUUGACUCAAGUGCAUCCUUUUCCUUUGCAAGACUAAAUAUAGAGGUUUUUACAUUAGUCAUUUCUUUCUCUUUAUCCUCUAUAGUUAUUUUGACUAAAGAUAUUUCCUUAGUCAAAACUUCAAGCAUCUCAUCUUUAUUGGAUAGCAAUUCUUGAAGCUCUAGGUUUCUCUCCUUUUCAAGGAUGAGCAAGUCUUCUUGAGCGUCAAGAGUUGCUUUUAUUUUAUCUAGCUUCUCCAUUAGUUUAGUAAUUACAUUGUAUCCAUUUAAACCAAAUUCUUUAAUCAUCUUAUUUUUCAUAGCAAGUUGUUCUUCAUCAUCAUUAAUAAAGUCAUCAUUAAAUAAAUGUACCUUGUCUCCUUUUGCCAUGAGGCAAGUUGGAGUGUAGGAGUCGUCAUGAAGGUUGGUGAAGAGUUGCGAGCUUGAAGUAGAUUGGAUGGCUGAGAGCACCUAGAGGGGGGUGAAUAGGUGAUCCUGUAAAAUCAAACACUAAAUAGCCACAAGACUUAGUUUAUUAGAGAGUUAGUGCGACUAAGUAGCUUUGAAGCGAGUUCUUGUGAACACAACAAUCACAGAGAAAGCAACACAAGAGACACGCUAUUUUUAUCCCGUGGUUCGGCCAAGUAACACUUGCCUACUUCCACGUUGUGGCGUCCCAAUGGACAAGGGUUGCACUCAACCCCUUUCAAAUGAUCCGAUGAUCAACUUGAAUACCACUGGCUUUUCCUUUAGAGUCUUUUCCCAUGUGCGAGGAAUCUCCACAGUUUGGAGUCUCUCGCCCUUACAAUGGAGAUCACAAAGAAAGCACAGAGUAAGGUUGGGGAGAGCAACACACGCAAGACUCAAAUCCGCAGCACACCCACGCACACAAGUCACGACUUGAGCUCGAAACACAACACACGGAGUUCGCAAAUCAAAUGGAGCUCAAAUCACUAACACAGAGAAUCAAAUGCGUGGAGUCGGAGUCUGGGAGUCUUAGAAUGUUUCUUGAAAGCUUGGUGUAAUGCUCCAUGUGCCUAGGGGUCCCUUUUAUAGCCCCAAGGCAGCUAGGAGCCGUUGGAGAUCAAUUUGGAAGGCCAAUCUUGCCUUCUGUCGAGUGGUGCACCGGACAGUCCGGUGCACCACCGGAUAGGCCCUGUAGCUGUUCGGUGCGCAAUCUCCUUCCAUAUAGGGCACAUCCGACCGUUGCUCCUCCGGGCCCGUUGGCGCACCGGACACUGUCCGGUGCACCAACUGACCGUUGGAGCAGUCCACGUGUCGCCCGCAGAUUGCGCGGCUGACCGUUGGCGCUGGCAACCGUUGGCUCACCGGACAGUCCGGUGCACCACCGGACAGUCUGGUGAAUUUUAGCCACGUCGCCUUUUCCAUUUCCCGAGAGCGGCGAGUUCGUCGCGGUUGACUCACCGAACAGUCCGGUGCACCACCGGACAGUCCGGUGAUUUAUAUCCGUACAACUCCGUCGAUUCCCAAGAGCAGCUGGUUCACCGUCGGCCAGCCUAGGGCACCGGAAACUGUCCGGUGCACCACCGGACAGUCCGGUGUGCCAGGUUGAGCUAGAGUUAGCUGCACACAGCCAACUCUUUCCCAUUUCUUUUCUCCUUCUUUUGUCACUGUUUCUAGCACUUAGACAUACACAUUAGUAUUCAAAAACAAUGUACUAAGCCUAGAAACAUACCUUGUAAUAUGAUUUGCAUUUCUCUAUUUAUUUAUCACAUAAGAACUUAAUCAAUCUUGUUGGGCAUUUAAUCACCAAAACAUUAUAGAAAUGGUCCAAGGGUGCAUUUCCCAUUCAAUCUCCCCCUUUUUGGUGAUUCAUGCCUACACAUUAAAAAGCAAUAGAAAGAAGUGCAACAUUAGUGCAAAUGAAGACCAAAUUCUCUUUACUUAGGAUUUGGCAUAUUUGGAUCAUUCUUUGCCACCACUUGGUUUGUUUUUGCAAAUCAAAUUCAUUCUUCUAUCUCUAAGUUAAACACGGUUGUUUGGGCACAUAGAGAGAUAUUCCAAGAGUAAAAUUAAUCAAGUGCCAAAAACUCCCCCUUUUCCCAUAAUCAAAAUUCUCCCCAACAAGAGACCAAAUUUUGCACUAAGAGUAUUUUGAGCAAAUCACAAAUUCUUACUCUAUUAUUUUCAAAAAUUCACAAGUGGUUGGCUGAUCCAUUUUGCUUUGGCCUUAAUUUCUCCCCCUUUGGCAUUACGCACCAAAACGGGAUCAUUUUUGGCCCCUUUAACCCCAGUGCCUCACCAAAAAUGUCAAUUAAGAGCAAAAAGGCAAUGAGAGCAUAAGUAUGAACUUGGAAUUAAAUACACUAAUACCGGAGUGCAGUGGAAGUCUUUGCGUCGUCCAAGUUCAGUUUCCCUUUCAAUGUACCUUUGAGACUACAUCAGGUGUACUUAAACAAACAUGUUAAUCUCAAAGGGUCAAGUUGUAGCACAUCUCCCCCUAAAUAUGUGCACCAUUUGCAUAUGGACUUGUGAGGUCCGGGGAGGACUUGUACAACUUGAGCACCAUAAGUAUACAACGAAUAAUGUAAAUGCUCAAAGUAACAUGAUCAAAGGCAUAGAACACAUGUAUGCUAUAGAUUAAUCCAAGUUACGCGAAUCUAAGACAUUUAGCUCACUACACAACCUGCAAAAUGUUUUCUCAUGCAACGGCUUGGUGAAGAUAUCAGCUAGCUGGUUCUCGGUGCUAAUAUGAUAGAUAUCAAUCUCCCUUUUGUUGGUGGUCCCUCAGGAAGUGAUGCCGGAUGUCUAUGUGCUUAGUGCGGCUGUGUUCAACAGGAUUAUCCGCCAAGCGGAUUACACUCUCAUUGUCACAUAGGAGUGGGACUUUGCUCAGAUUGUAGCCAAAGUCCCGGAGGGUUUGCCUCAUCCAAAGUAGUUGCGCGCAACAUUGUCCUGCGGCAACAUACUCGGCCUCAGCGGUGGAUUGGGCAACGGAUGUCUGUUUCUUGGAACUCCAGGACACUAGGGACAUUCCUAGAAAUUGGCAUGUCCCUGAUGUACUCUUCCUAUCAACCUUGCACCCGACAUAAUCGGAGUCUGCGUAUCCAAUUAAGUCAAAUGUAGACCCCUUUGGAUACCAAUUCCCGAAGCACGGUGUAGCAACUAAAUAUCAAAGAAUUCGCUUAACGGCCACAAGGUAACAUUCCCUAGGGUCGGAUUGAUAUCUAGCACACAUGCAUACACUAAGCAUAAUGUCCGGUCUACUAGCAUAAAGAUAAAGUAAUGAACCUAUCAUGGACCGGUAUGCCUUUUGAUCAACGGACUUACCUCCUUUGUUGAGGUCGACAUGCCCGUUGGUUCCCAUCGGUGUCUUCGCGGGCUUGACGUCCUUCAUCCCAAACCUCUUGAGAAGAUCCUGAGUGUACUUCGUUCGGGAGAUGAAAGUGCCGUCCUUGAGUUGCUUCACUUGGAAUCCAAGAAAGUAUGUCAACUCGCCCAUCAUCGACCUUUCGAAUUUUUGCAUCAUCACCCUGCUAAACUCCUCACAUGACUUUUGAUUAGUAGAACCAAAUAUUAUGUCAUCAACAUAAAUUUGGCAAACAAAAAGAUCAUCAUUGCAAGUCUUUGUAAAAAGAGUGGGAUCGGCUUUCCCAACCUUAAAAGCAUUAGAAAUAAGGAAAUCUCUAAGGCAUUCAUACCAUGCUCUUGGGGCUUGCUUAAGUCCAUAGAGCGCCUUAGAGAGCUAAUAUACAUGAUCGGGAUACCUGUCAUCCUCAAAGCCAGGGGGUUGUUCCACGUAUACCUCCUCCUUGAUUGGCCCGUUGAGGAAAGCGCUCUUCAUGUCCAUUUGAAAUAGCCUAAAGGAAUGGUGAGCGGCAUAGGCUAAUAAUAUUCGAAUUGACUCUAGCCUAGCCACAGGAGCAAAAGUCUCCUCAAAAUCCAAACCUGCGACUUGGGCAUAACCUUUUGCCACAAGUCGAGCCUUGUUUCUCGUCACCACUCCGUGCUCGUCUUGCUUGUUGCGGAACACCCACUUGGUUCCCACAAUGUUUUGCUUUGGACGUGGCACCAGGCUCCAGACUUCAAUCCUUUUGAAGUUGUUGAGCUCUUCCUGCAUGGCCAACGCCAAGUUCGGAUCCUGCAAGGCCUCUUCUACCCUGAAAGGCUCAAUAGAAGAGACAAACGAGUAAUUCUCACAAAAAUUAGCUAAUCGUGAGCGAGUAGUUACUCCCUUGAUAAUGUCACCCAAAAUCUGGUCGACGGGGUGAUGUUUUUGGAUCGACGCUCGGACUUGAGUUGGACGGGCCCGUGGUGCUUCUUCCUCCACCACUUGAUCUUCCUGUGCUCCCCCUUGAUCCUUCCCUUCUUCUUGAGGUAUUUGUCCAUCAUCUCGAGUUGAGGGAUGCACCAGUGUCGAGGAAGAAGGUUGAUCUUGUUCCUAUAGUUCCUGUGGUCGCACAUCACCUAUCGCCAUUGUGCGCAUUGCGGCCGUCGGAACUUCAUCUUCAUCUAUAUCAUCAAGAUCAACUUGCUCUCUUGGAGAGCCAUUAGUCUCAUCAAAUACAACGUCGCUAGAGAUUUCAACUAAUCCCGAUGAUUUGCUGAAGACACUAUACAGCUUUGUAUUUGAGUCAUAUCCUAGUAAAAAACCUUCUACAGCCUUGGGAGCAAAUUUAGAGUGUCUACCUUUCUUCACCAGAAUGUAGCAUUUGCUCCCAAAUACACGAAAGUAAGAGACAUUGGGUUUGUUACCAGUAAGAAGUUCGUAGGAGGUCUUCUUGAGGAGGCGAUGCAAAUAGAGCCGGUUUAUGGCGUGGCAGGCUGUGUUCAAAGCUUCCGACCAAAACCGCUCGGGCAUCUUAAACUCUCCAAGCAUCGUUCUUGCCAUGUCGAUAAGCGUCCUGUUCUUCCUCUCUACCACACCGUUUUGUUGUGGUGUGUAGGGAGCGGAGAAUUCGUGCUUGAUGCCUUCCUCCUCAAGAAACUCUUCAACUUGUAGAUUCUUGAAUUCGGACCCAUUGUCGCUCCUUAUCUUUUUAACUUUAAGCUCAAACUCAUUUUGAGCUCUCCUUAAGAACCGCUUUAGGGUCCCUUGGGUUUCUGAUUUAUCCUGUAAGAAGAACACCCAAGUGAAGUGGGAAAAAUCAUCAACAAUUACAAGACCAUACUUACUUCCCCCGAUGCUUAGAUAGGCAACGGGUCCGAAGAGGUCCAUGUGAAGAAGCUCUAGUGGUCUUGAUGUUGUCAUCACAUUCUUGCCGUGAUGAGUGCUUCCCACCUGUUUUCCUGCCUGACAUGCUGCACAAGGUCUGUCUUUCUCAAAACAGACAUCAGUUAGUCCUAACACAUGAUCUCCCUUUAGAAGCUUAUGAAGGUUCUUCAUCCCAACAUGUGCUAGACGGCGAUGCCAAAGCUAGCCCAUAUUAGUCUUAGCUAUUAAGCAUGCAUCUAGAUCGGCAUUCUCUUUCGAAAAAUCAACUAAGUAGAGCUUGUCAUCUAGUACACCCUUAAAAGCUAGUGAACCAUCACUUCUUCUAAAAACAGAUACAUCUACAUUUGUGAAUAAACAAUUAUAACCCAUAUUACACAAUUGACUCACAGAUAACAGGUUAUAGCCGAGCGAUUCAACUAAAAACACAUUAGAGAUAGAAUGCUUGGAUGAAAUGGCUAUUUUUCCUAAUCCUUUGACCUUGCCUUGGUUCCCAUCUCCAAAGAUGAUCGAAUCCUGGGAAUCCUUGUUCUUGACGUAGGAGGUGAACAUCUUAUUUUCCCCCAUCAUGUGGUUUGUGCAUCCACUGUCGAUUAUCCAGCUAGAACCCCCGGAUGCAUAAACCUGCAAGGCAAUGUUAAGCUUGGGUUUUAGGUACCCAACUCUUGUUGGGUCCUGCAAGGUUAGUCGCAAUAAUUUUUGGAACCCAAAUACAAGUCUUGUCUCUCUUGCAUUUGGAUCCCAACUUCCUAGCAACUACUUUUCAUUCUUACAUGAAAGUACAAAAGAAGUGUUGCAAGCAUGAAAAACAGUAGUGGGUUCAUUGCACAUUUUCCUAGGCACAUGAAGCACAACAUGAUUUCUCCUAGGCCUACCUCUACCAUGAACAAAAGUAGAUCUAGAGGCAAACAUAGCAUGUGAAUCAUUAUAAGCAGUAUGAACAUAACUCUUAUUAUAAUGAGAACAACUAGCAAUUUUCCUAUCAUAAAUAAAGGCAUGGUUCCUUUGAGGACUACUCGCCAAAGGGGCCUUCCCUUUCUCCUUGUUGAGAACGGGAAUCCUUUGGCUUGUUAAGUUCUUGGUUUCCUUUCGAAAACCAAGUCCAUCUUUAAUUGAGGGGUGUCUACCAAUAGUGUAGGCAUCCCUAGCAAAUUUUAAUUUAUCAAAAUCAAUUUUGCAAGUCUUAAGUUGAGCAUUAAGACUUGCCACCUCAUCAUUUAAUUUAGUAAUAGAAAUAAGAUGUUCAUCACAGACAUCAACAUCAAAGUCCUUACAUCUAUUACAAAUACUAACAUGCUCUACACAUGAACUUGUUUUACUAACUUCCUCUAGCUUAGCAUUUAAUUCAUCAUUUACAUUCUUUAGACUAGAGAUAGAUUCAUGGCAAGCAGAUAACUCAAAAGAUAGCAUUUCAUUUCUCUUAGUUUCUAAAGCAAGAGAUUUUUGUACACUAACAAAUUUGUCAUGUUCCUCAUACAAAAUGUCCUCUUGCUUUUCUAGCAGUCUAUCUUUUUCAUUUAGAGCAUCAAUUAAUUCAUUAAGUUUCUCUACUUUGGCUUUAUCUAGACCUUUAAAUAAACUAGAGUAAUCUACUUCAUCAUCGGAGGAUUCCUCAUCACUAGAAGAAGAGUACUUAGGGGAAUAUCGAAUACGUACCUUCUUCUCCUUGGCCAUGAGGCAAGUGUGGCGUUCGUUGGGGAAGAGCGAAUACUUGUCGAAGGCCGAGGCAGCCAAUCCUUCAUCGUCGGAGUCAGAUGAGGAGCAGUCAGAAUCCCACUCAUUUCCAAAAUGUGCCUCGCCCUUUGUCUUCCUAUAGUUCUUCUUCCUUUCCUUCUUCCCGCUCUUUUCUUGUCCCUGCUCAUUAUCAUUAUCGGGACAUUGUGCAAUGAAAUGACCAGUCUUACCACAUUUGAAGUAGGAGCGUUUUCCUCUUGUUUUGUUCUUGUUGGAGUACUCCUUGCGUCCUUUAAGCGCGGUCUUGAAGUGCUUGAUGAUAAGCGCCAUUUCAUCUUCAUUGAGCCCGGCAGCCUCCACUUGUGUCACCUUGCUUGGUAGCGCCUUCCUGCUGCUGGUUGCUUUGAGAGAAACGGGUUGUGGCUCGUAGACGGGUAGUGGGCCGUUUAGUGCAUCGUCCAUGUAUCGAGCCUCCUUCACCAUCAUGCGCCCGCUCUCGAAAUUUCUGAGGAUCUCCUCGGAUGUCAUUUUGGUGUACCUGGGGUUUUCACGAAUAAGAUUCACAAGAUAGGGGUCAAUUAUAGUAAAUGACCUUAGCAUGAGUCGGAUGACAUCAUGAUCCGUCCAUCUUGUGCUUCUGUAGCUUCGGAUCUUGUUGACCAGGGUCUUGAGCCUGUUGUAGGUCUGAGUUGGCUCCUCUCCCUUGAUCAUCGUGAACUUCCCCAGCUCGCCUUCCACUAGUUCCAUCUUUGUGAUCAUAGUGGCAUCAUUUCCCUCAUGUGAUAUCUUGAGGGUAUCCCAGAUUUGUUUGGCAUUGUCCAAGCCACUCACUUUAUUAUACUCGUCCCUGCAAAGAGAUGCUAACAACACAGUAGUAGCUUGGGCAUUUUUAUGGAUUUGCUCAUUAAUAAUCACAGGAUUAUCAGUGCUAUCAAAAUGCAUCCCAUUUUCUACAAUUUCACAUAUGCUAGGAUGAAGAGAGAAUAAAUGACUACACAUUUUAUGACUCCAAAACGAAUAGUCCUCUCCAUCAAAGUGUGGAGGUUUUCCAAGGGGGAUUGAAUGUAGAAGCACAUUUGAAUUAUAGGGAAUGCGAGAGUAAUCAAAAGAAUAAUUUUGAUUAACCAUCUUUUUCUUUGAUGAAGAGUCGUCGUCGUCGUUGUCGUCCCUUGGUGAAGAAGAUGAUGCAUCACUGUCGUAGUAGAUGAUCUUAUUGAUGCGUCUCUUCUUCUUCCCAUCCCUCUUCUUGUGACUCGAGCCUGAGUCAGUGGGCUUGUCGUCUCUUGGCUCAUUGAAGAGGGAUUCCUUCUCCUUAUCGUUGACCACCAUCCCUUACCCUUAGGAUCCAUCUCUUCAGGAGGUAGUCCCUUAGAUGAAGAGUAUGGCUUUGAUACCAAUUGAGAGCACCUAGAGCGGGGUGAAUAGGUGAUCCUGUAAAAUCAAACACUAAAUAGCCACAAGACUUAGUUUAUUAGAGAGUUAGUGCGACUAAGUAGCUUUGAAGCGAGUUCUUGUGAACACAACAAUCACAGAGAAAGCAACACAAGAGACACACUAUUUUUAUCCUGUGGUUCGGCCAAGUAACACUUGCCUACUUCCACGUUGUGGCGUCCCAAUGGACAAGGGUUGCACUCAACCCCUUUCAAAUGAUCCGAUGAUCAACUUGAAUACCACUGGCUUUUCCUUUAGAGUCUUUUCCCAUGUGCGAGGAAUCUCCACAGUUUGGAGUCUCUCGCCCUUACAAUGGAGAUCACAAAGAAAGCACAGAGUAAGGUUGGGGAGAGCAACACACGCAAGACUCAAAUCCGCAGCACACCCACGCACACAAGUCACGACUUGAGCUCGAAACACAACACACGGAGUUCGCAAAUCAAAUGGAGCUCAAAUCACUAACACAGAGAAUCAAAUGCGUGGAGUCGGAGUCUGGGAGUCUUAGAAUGUUUCUUGAAAGCUUGGUGUAAUGCUCCAUGCGCCUAGGGGUCCCUUUUAUAGCCCCAAGGCAGCUAGGAGCCGUUGGAGAUCAAUUUGGAAGGCCAAUCUUGCCUUCUGUCGAGUGGUGCACUGGACAAUUCGGUGCACCACCGGACAGGACCUAUAGCUGUCCGGUGCACGAUCUCCUUCCAUAUCGAGCACAUCCGACCGUUGCUCCUCCGGGCCCGUUGGCGCACCGGACACUGUCUGGUGCACACUGGACAGUCUGGUGCACCAACUGACCGUUGGAGGAGUCCAUGUGUCGCCUGCAGAUUGCGUGGCUGACCGUUGGCGCUGGCGACCGUUGGCUCACCGGACAGUCUCGUGCACCACCGGACAGUCUGGUGAAUUUUAGCCACGUCGCCUUUUCCAUUUCCUGAGAGCGGCGAGUUCAUCGUGGUUGACUCACCGGACAGUCCAGUGCACCACCGGACAGUCCGGUGAUUUAUAGCCGUACAACUCCGUCGAUUCCCGAGAGUAGCUGGUUCACCGUCGGCCAGCCUGGGGCACCGAACACUGUCUGGUGCACCACUGGACAGUCCGGUGUGCCAGGCUGAGCUGGAGUUAGCUGCACACAGCCAACUCUUUCCCAUUUCUUUUCUCCUUUUGUCACUAUUUCUAGCACUUAGACAAACACAUUAGUAUUAAAAAACAAUGUACUAAGCCUAGAAACAUACCUUGUAAUAUGAUUUGCAUUUAUCUUUAUUUAUCACAUAAGAACUUAAUCAAUCGUGUUGGGCAUUUAAACACCAAAACAUUAUAGAAAUGGCCCAAGGGUGCAUUUCCCUUUCAAUGGCGACAUUAGCCACCUCUUCUUCUUCCUUUGAGCUUGAACUCUCUUCGUCGAAGUUCCACUCUUCACCUAUGUGAGCUUGGCCAUACUUCUUCUUCUUGAAGUAUCCCUUGUUCUUGCCCCCCUUUUUGAACUUAUCCUUUUUGUAUUCCUUCUUGGCUUCUUGUUCCUUUUUGUUUGGACGAUCCGCUAUGAAAUGACCGGUUUGGCCACAUUCAUAACAUGCCCUCUUCUUUCCUUUUCUUUGAUACUUGUCAAUUUUUCCUCACAAACUUCUUGAAGGUUUUGAUGAACAUAGUUGUGUCUUCAUCACUUGAACUAUCUUCAUCACUUGAUGUUUCGACCACUUUCUUUGUCUUGUGAUCUUUGUUCUUCUUGGAGGAAUCUUGUUCAUUUGAGAUCAAGGCAUGAGUGUCUCUUGUCUUGAUUGGGGCUUCUUCAGACUCAUGUUGUUGAAUCUUUGCAAAUAGUUGGCGAGGUGUCAUUUCCUCAUAGUCAUCAGGGUCCCUUAUCAUUCUUGCUAGACUCUUAUCCUUUUCUUUGUAUGCUCUCAUAAAUAGUCUAGUGACCUUGGAGUCACUCCAAUCUUCACUUCCAAGCACUCUUAUUUUGUUGACCAACACCAUUAGCCGGUCAAAGAGUGAUUGAAGUGACUCACCCUUAGUCCAAUCAUAUCGUGCAAGCUCACUCUCCAAAGCUUCAAUUCUAUAUCUCUUAGCUUUGGGGUCUCCUUCAUGUGACAUUUUGAGAAUGUUCCAAAUGUCACGAGCAACCUCUCUUCCUUGGACUUUCCGGUACUCUUCCGGACAAAGGCUUCCUUUUAUUAUGCUCACCGCUUGAGCAUUGCGGUGAACUUCUUGCAUCAUUUUCGGAGUCAUCUCUUCUCCUUGGGCGGGCUUAUACAUACCUAUAUUGACAAUCUUCCAAAGACUAGGAUGUACACCGAUUAGAUGCGACUUCAUCUUAUCGGCCCACUCGUCAUAGUUCAACUCACUAAGAGUUGGUAACUUUCCAAGUGGGGCGGAAGAGAAGUUGGGAAUAAAAUUUCUAGAAUAAUCAAAUUGAACUUUAUUAAACUUGUUACCUUUACUUUUGGUGGAUGAUCCUUCGGGGGUGAGACUUACCUUGCUCAUCACCCUUGACACCAAAAGUUCUACCAAAUCAUCAUUGUAUUUGAUUUUUCCCUUUCCUUUGUCUUCUUCAACCUUUCUUCUUGAUUCUUCUUCUUCGGCCCUUUUCUUAGCAUCUUCCUCUUUCAUUUUGAGAAACAUCUUCUCGGCUAUCUUCAUGGCAAGGUCGAGGACCUUGGGGUCUAUUUCCUCACCGGAAGAUGUGACGGGGAUUUCCUCGAGAAGAGGAUCCACAUGGUCCCUUUGAGUAGACAUGAUCGUUUCCUCACGCGGUUAAGCGUAAAACGAGGUACGAAGCUUUGAUACCAAUUGAAAGUAGCCUAGAGGGGUGAAUAGGCUACACCUGAAUUUUUUCACUAAAAACUUCGAGAUAAUGUUAAAUUCAAGUUGCAUUGGUGCAAACUGGUUCAGCUGAUUUUGUUUACAGCUGAACAAGUUUGAACCUACUCAACUUAGAUUAGAUAAACAGUUAAACAAGUGUGACAAAGUAAUGAGAAAUUUUGCUUAAGACUUGCCCUAGAGAAAAUCCACUCGAAUAGGUGACAAAUCGGUGUGAAUUGGUUUCACACGAUUUGCACACAAUAUAAUCGAAUAUGAACUAACCAACAAUUUAAAGCACUUAUCAAGAACACACAAGAACACACAAUUUAACCUGAGGUUCGGCAACCACCACAAAGGUGUCCUACUCCUCAUUGAGGAGCCCACAAAGGGUCGAGUCUUUUCCAACCCUAAUCCUCCACAAGCCGACCACCAAGGUCAAGGCAAUCUCUUCUCAAAUUAGCUCAACGAGCAGGUGAUACAAACUUCUUGGGGGUCAUCCACAAAUUUGGAGACUCCCAAGCAACCUCUAUCCGUCAAGGAACACAAGGUUCCAAGAGUAACAAAUCCGCACAAGAUUCAAGUUUGCAAUGAGCUCAAGAGAUGAAGAGAAUGGGAGAAUCGAGAUGAAAUCAACAGCGAGUUAGAUCGACUUCACCACACACCAAGGGUCCUUCAAACAAUUGAAGGAGAUGUGAUUUCGGGUGUGAGAGGUGAAUUGAAUGUUCUUGUUUGAAGGUUGGUCAGCCAAGAAUUCGUGGAGAGGGCUGAAGUGAAUGAAGAGAGAGAGUGUGAGGGGUAUAUAAAGGAUCCCCCAAAAGCUAGCAGUCGUUGGGAAAAGUUGAUUGAAAACCGGUUGAACCGGUUCUUAAUCCGGUUGAACCGAUUUCCACCAAGGAGUUUUCGGUUCACUAAGCGACUGAGUCGGAGACUCGACCGGCCCCAAAUUCGGUUGAGCCGGGCUAAAAUUCGGUUGAACCGGUUUUCAAAAAGUCUGCACAUGACUUUUUUUGACAGGAUUGACUGGUAGACUGGCAGGUCAGAAAGUGACAGAGGGAACAGUGCAAAAACCGGUUGAACCGGUUUUAGGUCCGGUUGAACCGAUUUUUGAAACUGAUGAACAGAUUUUGAGAAAACUGAGGUGAACCAAGGGGAAAUCUUAGUGGGGAGUGAAAGUGGUUUUUCCAAGAGCAUUAAUGAUCUUGUAAAAUAUUUUCUUAGAGGUUUUAAAAAAGGUUUGGACUAAGCUCAUCGCAUUUACUUGCUUAACCAUUGCAGAUCCCUCUUAAUUGAACGGCGAUUCCUAUGACUCAAGAAUUGUAAAAUGUAAAUUGUCGUUGUUCCCAAGCACUUGGAGCACGCUAUAUGAUGUAGAAUUUUAAUCUGUUGUGCUUUUACAUUUGCGUACGUAUAUGAUCUGUGCUUCUCCUAUCUGUAGAAUAACUGUAUACAUGCUAGGAGCAUACUUGUUAGAAUCUCUGUUUGUUUUGUCAUUUAAUCACCAAAACCCUCAGUUAAGGUUGAUUGCACUUAUAAUUAACCAAGCAGGCAUGGUUCAUAACUAGAGAAGAUGUGUGCUAUGAUUGCAGGGUUCAGUUCUUUGUGAUCGAAACUAGCUUGUGUGUGUUGAUUCUCUACCAAAUUGAAAGUUAUAUUCACCUAAUGGAAGACCAAGAACCCAAUUCCCAUCAAGUCAGAUCAUGUGUGUAAUUGAAAGUUAUCUUGGGUAACCCCAUUCCCAUCACCUUGUACAACUCUAACCUGAGAUCUAAAAGAAACUAAUGAUAACUUAGCUUGACUUAAUUAAACUAAUAUUCUAGCACUUCAGAAAAGCAAAUACUUUGCACUUAUUGAUGUGGGUGGAUAGGUUAAGAAAAGCAAAGUUGGUAUCACACUACCAAAAGCUAUACAAAAACACUUAUCCAAGUGUGGUGGAUUACAUCUACUUGAUAGGGUUGUCAUCCCUAGUGGGACUACCACAACUAUUUAUGACAUAUAAAGCAAAACCAUCUAAGCUUUAUCCAUAAUGGAUGUUCUUUUAACAACACACAUGACAUUACCUUUAAAUUACUUGAGAGCAAUGGUAUGCAAAUCCUUUGCAUGUACGCAAAACUAGCUAGUUGUCACAAGUUGUAUAUCGAUUCGUCGCGUUUCAACAACUCAUGCAACAUUACAAACAAGUAACACAAUAUUACAAAGUUAGUUUCAUACAAAGCAAGAAAAGGACAAUAAUACUUGACAUGUAAAGUGAAGCUUAUUAUACUUCCUAAUCCAACACAAAACAAAAAAAAGUUGCACAAAGGUCCAAAAAUCCACAUCAACCAUUAACCUAUACGUAAAGUGAGUGAUGAGUCACAUUAUCCAACAAAUGUUUAUCAAUGUGGUAUCAUACAAGCAUUGACAUCCCAUAAAUGCAAGAAAUUGUGCCAACAAAGCUAUAAGUAACCCUCAUAUGUAUUUGCACUCAUGCAUCACAAAACAUCCUUCUAUCAGUACCAUCAAUCAUCAUUCAUCUUAGUAGUAUAGGCACCAAAUCAAAUCUGCAACAUCAAUUAUCUAACUCCAAAAACCAUGAAGCUGGUGCUUGUGGUUCUUGCUUUCAUUGCUUUAGUAUCAAGUGUUUCUUGUACACAGACAGGCGGCUGCAGCUGUGGUCAACAACAAAGCCAUGAGCAGCAACAUCAUCCACAACAACAUCAUCCACAAAAACAACAACAUCAACCACCACCACAACAUCACCAGCAGCAGCAACACCAACAACAACAAGUUCACAUGCAACCACAAAAACAUCAGCAACAACAAGAAGUUCAUGUUCAACAACAACAACAACAACCGCAGCACCAACAACAACAACAACAACAACAGCACCAACAACAACAUCAAUGUGAAGGCCAACAACAACAUCACCAACAAUCACAAGGCCAUGUGCAACAACACGAACAGAGCCAUGAGCAACACCAAGGACAGAGCCAUGAGCAACAACAUCAACAACAAUUCCAGGGUCAUGACAAGCAGCAACAACCACAACAGCCUCAGCAAUAUCAGCAGGGCCAGGAAAAAUCACAACAGCAACAAUGUCAUUGCCAGGAGCAGCAACAGACUACAAGGUGCAGCUAUAACUACUAUAGCAGUAGCUCAAAUCUAAAAAAUUGUCAUGAAUUCCUAAGGCAGCAGUGCAGCCCUUUGGUAAUGCCUUUUCUCCAAUCACGUUUGAUACAACCAAGUAGCUGCCAGGUAUUGCAGCAACAAUGUUGUCAUGAUCUUAGGCAGAUUGAGCCACAAUACAUUCACCAAGCAAUCUACAACAUGGUUCAAUCCAUAAUCCAGGAGGAGCAACAACAACAACCAUGUGAGUUAUGUGGAUCUCAACAAGCUACUCAAAGUGCGGUGGCAAUCUUGACAGCAGCACAAUACCUACCAUCAAUGUGCGGCUUGUACCACUCAUACUACCAAAAUAAUCCAUGCAGCAGCAAUGACAUUAGUGGUGUUUGCAAUUGAAGAAUUGUGUCUACCUAGCCGUUAUACUCAUAUAACGGUGUUAAGCAAUAAAGUACCAUACAUUAUGAUGUUUGUACUAUGAUAUUUGAAUAAGAAUACUAAUUGUAAUUAUAAUGCUACUAAACCCUUGUGUGAACUAAAACUAGCAUGUCUUGUUCAUCCUACCCACAUUUUGGUUAGGGAUGAGGAGGGGAUUGUUAUUAUCCCAUGGUUAAUCACAAUUACACAAACAUAUGGCUACACUCAAAACUUAGGUAUGAGGAGGGGAUUGUUAUUAUCACAUUGUUAUUAUCCCAAUCAGCACAUUAAAUACACAAGAGCUACACUCUCACCCCCAUUCUCACACUUGUAGGUGAGAGAUACUUAAUGCCUUGUGUUCUUGAGUCUUGCAAGUUCUUGUGCUUCUAUUUUGGGUUUUCAAGCUCACUCUCACCCCCAUUCUCACACUUGUAAAGUGUAACACCCAAAAUUCGAUUAUGAGAUUUAUAAACGUUUUCCCCGAAAUAUUAAGUUAAAUGGCUUUUAAUAAUAGAUUCCUUUAUCUAUGAAGUGUGUUUUCCUAAAGUAAAUAAAAUGUAAUGUUAAAAGUUUUGUAGUUCAAAACUUAGAUCCAAAACUUAAAACUAAAAAGUUGGAACAAUAAUUAAAAGAAAGACUUUCAAUCCAAUUAUUAUUUCCUUCAUUGUUGUAUAAUUAAAGCACUCUUUCUAGAACAUUUGAACCAAUAUGAAGAUUACAUACUAACUUCUCCUAAAGAAAAGAAGUAAUGAAUACUGAUUUUUUGGAAUAUACUUUUAAUUAGAAUAUGAAUUCAAAAGAUUGAUCCUAUUGAAAUAUGUGUGUAAGUGGAUUUUGGUUGAAAUAAUUAGAUAAAUAAGUAAUUAAUAUAAAUAUAAUAAAAUCUUUGCAUUAACAUGCUGGAUAUUUAUUUGUUUGUUGCACGAGGUUUUGUAAGUCAAAACUAGAAUUUUAUUGGAAUAAAAUUUGAAACAUUAUAAAAAAUAAAUGAAAAUAAGAAAUAGAAAAUAAAUAAAUAAAAGGGACAUGGGAGCUUACCUGAACCUAGGCCGGAACCGUGGCCCACUCACAUUAUCUCGCAGCCAGCCUAGUCUUCACCGCGCCUUGCUAUCAUUGGCACUCGGUCCCCGCAUGCUAGCCUCCUUGUCCGUGCGCUGGCUUGCUCGGUCACCGUCGUGUGGGGCCCACAUGACAGAUUUUUUCCCUAGACCAUAGCCACCGUGUUUUGUUGCAUUGCAAUAGAUUGCGCAAAAGACGACUGAGACAUCUCGCCAAUCGAGCGCAUGUGGGACGAAUCCCUCUGCCCCUUCCACCCGGUUCUAGGUGUAUAUAUAGGAAGCACUAGACGUCGGUCCUCAGGAUUACACCGCAACCAGAGCCACCACGUCGAAUGAGCAAAAGACGAGAAGGGGAAGAGAACCAAUGGCACUGGUGACAUCAAGCUUCACCCCCACCUAGAGCCCAUGUGGUGGUCAGAAGGGUUCACCGAAUCACGCCUCUCGUGCGCUGGGUCUGCACAUACACGGACACCAAUUGGAGUGCGCAUAAUUCCUCGCCAACGACAUGGUGAUGCCACGGAUCCGCCUUGCUCGUGGGCGAGCCUCUUCACUGCUCAGAGCAUCCUAAGUACCUUUCUAUAGUAUUCGCCAUGGCCUUCUCAUCGUAAAAGCAUCAAGGAUAUUGACGUUAGGACAAGGUAGAAGCCAAUCGGGUCUCUCCGGCGACGGCUCCACCGUGGAGGCGCUGCUCUACCGUAAUAGGUCGCUGGAAGGGAGAAGAAGGCACGUCUGUCGUUGAUCGGUGGCGUAAUGGUUACAAUUAGAUCAGGGGUGUACCCCUUCGUGGAUCCGAUCUGAGCCAUAGAUCGGUUAUCCGAGGGCUGACACAUGUGGGAGGCGUCGUCACGUGAGGACUUUGGAUCCUAGAUCCAAUGGCUAGUGUAGUAUACUGAUUCGCUUUAAUGAUUGAUCUAAUCUGGACCACCGAAACAAGAUCAGACAUCUCAGCUUUAUCUUUACCCCUUCACGCGCGAUAGUUUGCAAAAGAAACCCUGAAGAUUAUUGAAAUCAACUCGCAGUCCAUGGUCUGUGUAAAAUAAAUACAUCAAGGUCCCUCGUAUUUGCAAUUUAGCCCUGGAAUCUAUGUUAAGUGCAAAAAUAAAUAUUAAAAUGACCUAAAACUUAUUUAACACAUAACUUUCGUAUAUUAACUCUGUUUUAAUCCAUUCAAGUUGUGUUAGGUUCGUAAUAAUAUUGCAUAUGCAGUAACACUAUUAGUUGUAACAUAUCACAUACUUUUAUUGGAAAUUUAUUUAACCUAUAAUUAGUAGAUUAAUCUUGCUAAUCAAAGAUAAAUCUGUCCAUAAUUAUGAACUCACUAAAAUAUAAUCUAUAAUCAGGUUAUAACUUAGAAUAAAAUGAAUUAGUUAUCAUAUGAAGUGUAUUAAUUAUCAUAGAAUAUAUUUUACUAUUUGAUUACCUAAACCUUUAGAUAACCAUAUCUUUUUUACCAUAACUCUGAUUUUAGUGGUUCUCGAACCUACGAUCUCGUAGCGACGCGUAGAAUAUUCUUAUGUAGUUUGUUCUCAUGUUUGGUGUAAUAUUAUUUUACCUAUUCAUUGUCUAUCUAUAUGUAAUGCUACGAGUAGAAGCGAGGUCACGUGGAAUCUAAAGACCAAAUUGGAGAAGUACCCGGAGUUGCACCAAAAUAGCAAGUUGUGCCCUUGACCACUCUUUACCUAAUAAUGUUCCUGUUAAUCACUCUGACAUACUUAAGUUAAUUUUAUGGGACCUAAUAGGUUAUCCUAGUUUGUUUACCUUACCCCUUGCAAAAAAUGAACUAUUGGGUAGUCUUGUUAUUUCUCUACCUAGUUUUGAGAUUAAUUUUAUUAUGAUCAUGUUCCAUUAUUAUUAUGGUUUAAUUAUUGUUCAUGGUAAGAUUAUUGUGUUAAUUUGAACAUAGAGAACCACCCGGGAAAAUAGUGCUACCACAAGAGUAGUAUGGAACGUCCUUGGCUGACUAAUUAGGAAAGCUAGUGGUGGACUACCUUACCCGAAAUGGGCAAGGGCAGUAGAGGAGCUGCCGGUAUAUGGAGGUUCUCGGGUCGAUCAUGCUGCGAUGAGUUUAGGAAUGAGGGAUUCCUAUAUCGCCCUUCUCAAACACCGUAGCGGGUUUUCUGAAGCUAGUAGAACUUUGUAAAGGCCUCGUAGUGCUACCCUGCCUCGUCUCCUAAGAAGAGAUGUAUGGGAUUUAUGACCCUAUGGCAAAUGGGUAACACGACUUGUGGGUAAAGAUGUGCAACCUCUCUAUAGUGUAAAUCUGGUAUAUCAGUCGUGCUCACGGUCAAGAGCGGCUCGAACAUUCACAUGAGUAACUUAUGAAAUUUAACUUAAUAUGUCAUUUGCAUUGCAUUGUGGGAUUUAUUAUUAAUUGUGAUCUCUUAUUUAACUAGGAUGGUAUCUACUUAUACUUAGUAACUGCUAAUAAAACUUUGAACAACUUAUUAAAAGCAAUGUUCAGCCUUAACCAUCUUCUUUGGUAAACCUUAAACUUCAUAAGAGCCCCCACCGUAAGUGAGCUCAUGCACAUUAUUCCCCACAACUUGUUGAGCGAUGAACAUAUGUGAGCUCACCCUUGUUGUACUCACACCCCCAGGUCAAGGACAAGUACCGCAAGAUAAGGAGAAAGAAGGAUGUCGCUAUGAGUUUGUGAGAGGUCUAGGCCGUCGUCUCCCAGUCAACUAUGGUUGCGGAGGAUCGUUGUCCUCAUAUGAUGUAAUUAUUUAGUUAUUUUGUACAGAAAUCCUAUUAAGUAAUAAAGAUGUGACAUUGAUUUUUGUAUAAUGAGUCAUCAUAUAUGUGAGACUUGAUCAUAGCACACAUUUGAUUCGCGCCUGGGUUUGCCCUUAAAUCCGGGUGUGAUAGAAAUGGUAUCAAAGCCAUGUUGACUGUAGGACGUAACUUCGAUAGACCUGAUCAAACCAUUACCUACUUACCUUUGCUACUUUGAUUCUUUCUAAACUUCCCUUAAUCUCUUCUCAUCUAUUGUUGCUUUACUCUGAUUACUUUUACCUUUUCUUUCUUGAAACCAAAAGAGGAUUUCACACCUUGGAAUCCGGUACCUAAAGUGAGCCUUAGGAAUAGGACACCUAAUCCUAGAAAAAACUAUUUUUAUAGGUACAUUUGCACUUGAAUGGUUGUUCCUAUGAUACCUGUCUGAUUUGGUUCUUUGAUUGAGUGUGAUGAGUUGUGGAGUAAUGUCCGCAAUUGCAUCUGCAUAUAUAAUUAGGCAUAAAGAUAUGUUUUCAAGAUAACUAAUCAACUUAGAUUAUUCCCCAUUAAAACAUAUCUAGCUUAGUAGAUCCAUUUUAUCUUAAAAUACUUUAUCUCAUCCUUUCAUCUUAUCCUAACAACUUUGUUACCCCAUCCUAGAAUGACAACCAUGAUCUAAUCCAAAUUAAUUGGAUCUUAUCCAGUCUAAAUCUAGUCAUACCAAUCUAAUCCAGAUCCCAUCUAAUCUAUUAUGAUCUAAUCUAAUGUUAAUUACUUAAAACAUGUUAGUUAAUACUGAUGAAAUAGAUUAGACCCUACUCCUAUAAACAUGUUUUAACCUAAAUUGGUGCCUUAAACCAACUUGGCCAUGAACAACAACCCAACCUACCUGAUGGAUUGCCUAAAUUCACCUAUCUCAACCUAAAAGUAAAAAAGUAGAACAUGUUUUACCUACCCACCUCAGGUACCCUAGCUAUCUUAACUAUAUGUCCCAAAAACCACCAAGACUGAAGAUCCCUAGCUCGAAUGGAAGCACCAAGACUAGAGAAAAGAAGAAAUCAACAUCGUCAAGGAAGGAUAAGCACCAACUCAAGUCUUCGAAGGAGUCAAACACAUCCCCAAACGAGUUAGAAAGCACCAUCUGUAAUGGAAACUUUACAUGCUCUUACCUCUUCUCUUACACCAAACCUUCUCUACUUCUAUCUAAUAACUAAAAAGUAAUGUACCCAUGCUUUCCUAGUUCCCUUCUUACUAAUUGUUAAGAACUCAAACAAUAAAAUGAUGACAAUAGAAAGCUUUCGAGUUUUAAAUCAAUUAAAAGCUAAUUACAAAACAAAACUUACUACAUCACUUUGCUUACUAAUCUCGAGGACUCGAUUAUUUUUAAGGGGGUAGGAUUUGUAACACUCAAAAUUCUAUUAUGAGAUUUAUAAACGUUUUCCCCGAAAGAUUAAGUUAAAAUGGCUUUUAAUAAUAGAUUCAUUUCUUUAUGAAGUGUAUUUUCCUAAAGUAAAUAAAUAGUAAUGUUGAAACUUUGGUAGUUCAAAACUUAGAUCCAAAACUUAAAACUAAAAAGUUGGAACAAUAAUUAAAAGAAAGAUUUUCAGUCUAUAUAUUAUUUCCUUCAUUGCAUAAUUAAAGCACUCUUUUUAGAUCAUUCGAACCAAGAUGAAGAUUGCAUACUAACUUCUCCUAAAGAAAAGAAGUAAUGAAUAUUGAAUUUUGUUUGGAAUAUACUUUUAAUUAGAAUAUGAAUUCAAAAGAGUUAUCCGAUUAAAAUAUGUGUAAGUGGAUUUUGGUUGAAACAAUUAGAUAAGUAAUUAAUAUAAAUACAAUAAAACCUUUGCAUUAACAUGCUGGAUAUUUAUUUGUUUGUUGCAUGAGGUUUGGUGAGUCCAAACGAGAAUUUUAUUGGAAUCAAAUUUGAAACACUAGAAAAUAAAUAAAAAUAAGAAAUAGAAAAAAAAUAAAUGAAAAGGGACAUGGGAGCUUACCUGAACGUGGGCUGGAACCGCAGCCCAUUCACAUUAUCCUGCAGCCAACCUAGUAUUCACCUCGCCUUGCUGUCGCUGGCACUCCGCACUCGGGCCUCGCAUGCUAGCCUCCUCACGUCUGUGUGUUGCCGUGCUCGUUCACCACCGUGUGAGGCCCACGUGCUUCCAAAAAGGCAAGUUGUGUGUGAUCACUUUUCUUUAUCUAUUAAUGUUCUUAUUAAUCAUUGUGACAUGCUCAGAUUAAUUUGAUGAGACCUAAUAGGUUAACCUAGUUUUUUUACCCUAUCCCUUGCAAACAAAUGAACUAUUAGGUAGUAUUGAUAUUGCUCUACCUGGUUUUGGGGUUUAAUAUUAUUAUGAUCAUAUUCCAUUAUUGUUGUAGCUUAAUUAUUGUUCAUGAUAAGAUUAUUGUGUGAAAGGGAAAUUGGGUUAACCAUUUCCUAUAAUUAAUUUUAGUGGUUGAUGAUCAACACAAACACAUGGACUAACUAGUUUGUCUAGAUAUUAUUCAUCUCAGGUGCAUAAGGUUCAACAAAGACCAAUAAAGAAAUUCGGUUAGGGACACGAUCAAAAAAGGAGCAAAGAACUACAGUGUGCUGAAAAAUGCAUACCAGACAGUGUCCGGUGUGCACCGGACCGCGUCUGGUGCACCAGGCCGUACAGUGAUGAACCAGCCACUCUCGGGAAUUCCAGGGCGCGCUCCGCUAUAAAUCACCGGACUGUCCGGUGAGCCAGUGGAGCAACGGCUCUCUGUGCCAACGGUCGACUCUGCGCAGAUGAACAGUACGCUACAGUACCUCCACAGAAGUCAGAGCAGCAAAGUCAGAGAGCACCGGACUGUCCGGUGUAGCUAGAUGACAAGGCGCUCCAACGGUCAACCGCUCCGAACCCUAACGGAUACGCUGACGUGGCGUGCACCGGACAGUGCACAGUGCGUGUCCGGUGGCGCACCGGACUGUCCGGUGCGCCCAUCACCAGCAGCCUUCACCAACGGCUAUGGAAGUGGUUGGGGCUAUAAAUACCCCCAACCACCUCAUUCAUAACCAUCCAAACAUUCCAAACAUCUCAUUCAUUGCAAGAGCAAAAGACUUCACACCUAGUGUCGGUGUUUUGGGUCCGACCGCACACCCGGGGUUGCCCCUCAAGGUGUUUUUAGGAGUAGGACGGUGUCAACAAUUGUAGCAAAAUGGUUCGUGCCGAUUGCACGAGGAACAGUGGACAAGGUUUAUAGGUUCGGGCCGCUUAGAGAUGCGUAACACCCUACGUCCUGGUGAGUAUGCUUGGUGAAUGUGGUUACAAGAGAGCUCUCUGGAUUGAGAAUACAGAGAGUUGACGUGGGUGGCUAAGUAAUAGGGUCGAUCGUUCUGAAGGGGUGCCCCUAGGCCUUAUAUACUCGACCGUGGGGCAAUACAUGUGGAUAUGAUAACAACGAGUAGCUAGAAGAUAGUGAACUGCUUGAGUUUAUCUCCAUGUAAUCCUGCCGACUUAUCCUCGCAUGGCUCCGUUGCAUGGGGGCUCCAGCGCGGGAGAGUCGGACCUCUGUUGUGGUCACUCGCUCGACGUUGUGGGUCGUCCGGGUUUGCACCAAUCCGGCCUCAUGUCGAUCUGCUCUGCUGGUUGUCUCUCCCCAGGCCCACGAAAGAAUGACCUUACGAUUUAUUGGGCCCUUGGGCCUUUCGUGAGGUCUUUUACUCUUUUAGUGGACCCGGGGGAUAUCUAUCCCCCACAAGCCCCCGAUCUUUGGGUUAAUUUAGAGGUAAUCAGCCCAAAGAUCCCAGGUCUAGCUUGUAGGUGAUUUGAAGAAAAUGACUUCCUGUCGUCUUCUCCGGCUUUGAUCACUCGUUGACCGAAGCUUAGUUUCAUGCUUGUGCCUUAGAGGUCGGCAUUUCAAUUUGCUGGAUUCUGAACUUCAUUGGGUGCACCGGAGGUGCACCCAAUGGGUGUAGCCCCCGAGCUUCGAGUAGAUUUUAGAAAAUAAUCUGCUCGAAGGUCUUCCCCAGAAAUUAUCUCCAUUUGUGCUCCUGCAUUUUGGUUGAGGGUUGGCCUUUUAAUCUUGUCCCACGCCUUAGAAGUCGGCGCUAUCUUGGCUUGGAAUGAUAAUCCAUGGGGUGCACCGGAGGUGCACCCAAUGGGUGUAGCCCCUGACCUUCAAAUGGAUUUUUGAGGAUAAUCCAUUCGAAGGUCUUCCUUUCGUGUCUCCUUGCUGAAAAUUAUCCUUUCUGUUUGUAGAAAUUGGCAUGAAGCUAUUCGCAUUAUGCUUUGGAGGUCAGCAUUAUGUCACCAAUAUUUUGCUUCAGAGGUCAGCAUAUAUUUUGUCUUUAGCAGCCGAGUUUGCAAUCCAUCCAUAUCUUGCUAGGUAGUGCAAUUUAUUUGCUCUGCGACUGAUUGGACGUUUGAUGGACGUUCUCUGUCUAGUCUUCACGUCGCUUCUGUCGGCCAUAUUUUGUACUUCACUGGCUAUAUUUGGCUUUCCUCUGAUCCUUACUGAUAUCUCAUUUUUGUCUUGAGGUAUUCACUGCGCGCCCUGCACAGAUGUGACCGUUUUAAAAAAUAUACUAAUAAUUCCUGGGCGUCCCCCCCCAAUGGGUGUGGGCAAGGGACGGCUUGGUACGCUGAGUGUUUUAGCCGGCUGCUUCUGAGUAGUAAUGUGAUGUGACGGCGAGUGUAAUCAUAUCCUCCUCGCUGUUGACUGGAGUCCCAAUGGGUGUUGUGUUGCGUGAAACGGCGUCAGCCGCCUGACGUGUCUUCAGACGGGUUGAAGUGCUUAUUGAAUGCUUUGCGACUGUUUAGUGACCGCGGUUGGAGGUGAGCGGUUGCCUUCUCCUUAUAUAAAUAACGUCGUUGUCCCUUUGGCUUUUCCACAUCCUUCGCCGUUCUCUGCUGCUUCCCUCUCUUCUUUCCCUUCUGCUUCCACCAUGGGCAAGAACAACAAGCGCAAGCGUGAGCCAACUCCUCCGUCGGAGGAGUUUGGUGACUCGGAGUACUCAGAGGAGGAGUUCUCCUCUGAGUCUGAGGGGUCUCCGGCUCCCGUCCCCCUGCGUGAGUCGUCUGACGACUCAGACGACUCCCAGGGGCUUGCGGCGGAGGUCUGGACGUACAUCCGGGCCGUCGAGCGCUCCGGGCUCGAGGGCUCGGAUGAGUCGGAGUACUCCUCGGAUGAGGAGGACUCGGACGGCGAUGGCGAGGACGAGGACGACGACGACGACGACGACGACGAUGACGAUGGCGACGGUGACGGUGACGGCAGCGGCAGUGGCAGGGGCAGCGGCGGCGGCAGCAAGGACGGUGACGGCGGCGGCAGCAGGGGCAGCAAUCGGGGCGGCAGCAGCAGGGGCAGCACCAAGGGCGGCGGCGGCGGCGGCAGCAACAGGGCCAGUGGCUAGAUGCCACUGGUCUUUUAGAUAUUAGUAUAGUAUAGUUAGACUAAUGUAGUAGUAAUGUAGAGUAGUAUAGCGUAGUGUAGUAGUAGUAGUAAUGUAAUGUAGUAAUAGUAGGGAAGUAUCAACUCGUAAAGAGUUGAUUUGUAAGUUUGUUAUCUUCCCUUUUAAUGAAAGAAUGAUGUCGGCUUCUCCUUGAUAACUCGUCUUGCUUGUUUGUAAAACUGAUUCCUUUGAGACAGUAGAUGAAUAACUUGGGGAUCAAACUGAUGCUUCCAGAAAUAGCUGCCGAGUAACUUGUAGACGGUGUCGGCGUUUUAGAGGUAACACCGAGCAACUGAAGACUGUAUCAGUGUUUUAGAAGCAACGCCGAGUGAUUGGAAAGCGACGUCGGCAUUUUAGAGGUAAUGCCGAGCGACUUGAGAUGAUGCCAGAGGGCGACGUCAGCGUUUUAGAGGUAAUACCGAGUGACUGAAAGGCGAUGUCGGCGUUUUAGAGGCAACGCCGAGCGACUGAACACUAUAUCAGCGUUUUAGAGGCAACGCCGAGUGAUUGGAAAGCGGCGUCAGCAUUUUUAGAGGUAGUGCCGAGCGACUGAACGCGAUAUCAGCGUUUUAGGGGUAACGCCGACUGACUGGAAGGUGACGUCGGCAUUUUUAGGGGUAAUGCCGAGCGAUUGAACACGAAAUCGGCGUUUUGGAGGCAACGCCGACCGACUGGAAGGCGACGCUGGCAUUUUUAGAGGUAAUGCCGAGCGACUGAACACGAAAUCGGCGUUUUGGAGGCAACGUCGACCGACUGGAAGGCGACGUCGGCAUUUUAGAGGUAAUGCCGAGCGACUGAACACGAAAUCGGCGUUUUGGAGGCAACGCCGACCGACUGGAAGGCGACGUCGGCAUUUUAGAGGUAAUGCCGAGCGACUGAACACGAAAUCGGCGUUUUGGAGGCAACGCCGAGUGAUAGCAGGCCGCGCGAGCCACUUUGAGGACGAUGGCCGAGUGAUGAGGUGGCGCACCGGUGUUCUGGAGAUAACUGCCGGGUUUCCACGUGGCAUGCUGGGGUUUUGGAAAUAACCGCCGGGUGAUGACUAGGCACUUUUUGAAACGGUAUCUGGCUCGAGAAUAUCCCAUAAGAGCUGCGCUUUUAGCCGCCUUUGCUUUCCGUGCCCUAGUUCUUGCUUUCCCGCUCCCGAAUCCUCUCUGCCAUUCGCCUCCCACUCUGCUCGCUGGUAGAAUCGAGAUGGCACCCAAGAGGAAGACCGCGAGCUCGUCCGCUGUGGUGAUUCCUCCAAUCGACCCCAACAGCCAGUUGCCUUUCGCAGGUAACCACAUGUCCAUCAUUUCUGAAACUGAACUUCUCCACCUCGUAUCUAUCGGGGUUCUUCCUCCGCGAGAACUCUGUUCUUGGCGGAUUUGCCAUGGGUUUACUGUUCCGACAGAGGAUACCCAUGAGUCCGUUGUUUACGCCCCUUUCCUUCUCCGCGGCCUUGGCCUUCCCAUCUCUCCCUUUUUCUGCGGCCUCCUUGAUUUCUACCAUAUUAACUUGACCCAUUUGAACCCCAAUUCAAUUCUGCAAAUCUCCAUUUUCGUUCAUUUAUGCGAGGCCUUUCUUGGCGUGCUGCCACAUUUCGGUUUAUGGAAAUACUUGUAUCAUUGUCGCCCUGGGAUGGCCGGGGGACAACAUCAGUUGGUCGGGGGUGCCAGCUUGGAGAUGCGCCGCGGGAGGAAAACUGAAUAUCUCGAGAUCCCCCUCAAGGACAGUAUUAAGGGAUGGCGCCUGGAGUGGUUCAUAGUUGAGAAUUAUGGGAAUUCUCUCCCCUCCCGGUCGGGAAGACAGCCGGACGUUCGCACCCCAAGCUGGACCGAGUCUCCCACAGAUCAGGAGGUAGCUGAGGCAGGUGUGUUGCUAGCUGAAGUUGGACUGCUGAAAGAGAGGGGUCUGACUGCUGAAGCUAUGGUUACUGACUUUGUUUUCAAGAAUAUUCAGCCACUGAAAGACAGGGCCUAUCCAGCUUAUCUGUAUCGAGGGCUAGCCGACUCAACUCGGGUUACCAACAGGAGAAUUCCUUCUGCAGACUUGGUGAGCCGACUUGAAAUGAUCCUCAGGGGCAAGGUGUCAAAUGUUGGUGCUCCAGUGGCAUACUCGGCCUGGAACUUGCCUCCUCCCAAAGCCUUCACCCUUUUCGUGUCGAAUCCACCCAUUACUGAUGGCAGUUUGGGCCUUAGAGUGCGACCCUCUGCUGAAGAAGUCAGUGCUUUGGUUGCCUCGCUUGGGGAGAUUCCUGAUGACGAACGGCAGGUUCAUUUUGAGGUGCCCCUGAACCCUAGUGAUGCAGAGAUAAGCGCUAUGCUUGAUUUGCUAGCUGAGGAUUCAUCCGAUGCUGCUCCUGCUUAGACGUUGGUAGUGGCGCCCCUCCCAGAGGCUGAUACGACUUUGGAUGUUCAGAAGCCUGUCAGUGCUCGCCCGAGGCGCCCUUGCCGAACCAAUCAGCCUGAUCCUUCUGUUGAUGAGCAGAAGAAGAAAAGAAGACGCCUCCGGCGAGUGUCCAGUUUUGGUCAGGACGCUGGUACCUCAGUUCCUGCUAUUGCAGAAGUGCCUGCGACUGGAUUUACUGACGCUGACCCCAAUGGGUGUACCCAAUCCGCUGUUGAUCCCAUAGUGGGUGCCCCAUCUGUUGCUGAUCCCAAUGGGGGUGCUGCUUGUGUUGCCAAUGUGGAUGAUGAGGAAGAGGAAAAUGAGAUUCCUUUGACUUGGAAAAACAGUCGGCAGUUCAUCGCCAGUGGUGAAAGUAGUGGAGUUCCCUCUCCUGCUUUGUCUGCCCUCAUUGGUCUGCAAGAACUGUCCCUGGCCAACUUUGAUCAGACUCUGGAGGAUAUGGUCCCAGAGGACUUGUUAUCGGAGCCAGUGGAUGAUGGUGCAAUGGAGGCUUGCGCUGACGUGCCCGAUGCUGGUUUGAGGUCAUCUCGUGCCUCGUCGACCUUAGAGCGCGAUCUCGAGGGUCGGGAGACUGACUUGGAUCGUCCUGGUCCUAUGGAAGUAGCUGAGGGCCCGUCAACCUUAGAGGUGGUUACUGCAAAGAGCUUGGACCUCAAGAAUGGUGCUGACACAUGCCUAGUCCCCGAGGGUGUCGCCGGGGAUGACUUAGCUCGGGUGAAGAGUGUAAGCCACUGCCCAGCCCCCGAGGGUGCUGCCGGGGAUGAUCCGGCUCAAGCGGGCAGUGCAAACUAUGACCCAGCCCCCGAGGGUGCCCGAGCAGGGUCUCCUUCCUGUACUUCCAUGGACGUUCAUGCGGGAUCUCCUCCACACUCUGGUUGUAUGGUGGUAGCUCAAACCUUGGACCAGGGAGUCGCUUUAGAGGGCAGCGUCCUCGCUGAUCAGGUGUUUGGCUCUGUUGAAGGCACCGAGCUGAUUCCUACUGGUUCAUUGCAAGCUGCUUCGGGUGGUGGUCUUUCGCCUGGUUAUCAACUGAUCUCUCCUGAUUUGGGGAUCCCUUCGUUCUUUUCCAACCUCCAGGUACUGUGAUGUAUUUUAGCUUGAUUUUUACAUUGCCUGAACUGCUGUUAUUACACUCAUCUGUUCUCCUCAUCAGGCUUUGGUGGAUGGGAUGGCCAGCCAGCUGAGAUUGCAGGGUGCUUCCGUCCCAGAAGUGGCUUCGUCUCUUGCGUGUUGGAAUCCAGUGUCACUUCAACAUCGUGUCUCUGAUUUGGAGGCAACUAACGUUGGUUAGUGCUUUUUUUUGCUUCUCUUUGCGUUCGCUGUGGACUGCUUUACCUUCUGACCCCGUUUUGUUUGAUUAUCUCUUUCUAGGAAUGACUCGGCAGAUUUCAAUUCUUGAGGAAAAACAUUCCCGAGAUCAGGCUGAAUUGGUUCAGCGGUGUGCUGACUUCGAGGAGAAGUACUCUCAGAGCCAAACUGAACUGGGUCAAGUCUCUGCUGCCUUGGAUGACGCCAAUGCAUUGAGUUCUUCUCUUCAUGCUCAGCUCGAUUCUGAAAAGGUAAUUUACAAAACUGUGCUUUGCCUUGCUGUGUUCCUAUUACUUGCUUGGUUUUUGAAGGAGUUGAUUUUUGCUUGCAGGAAGAAAAGCAUAUCCUUGCUGCUUCUCGUGACAAUCUUGACAGAUUGUAUCGUGAUUCUUGCAACUCGCUGACCAUCUUGGAGAGGAGUCACCGCUUUACAAUGGAGGAAUUGGACAAUCAACGUUGUAAGCUGCAGGAAUCCGCGGACGAAGUGACCUGCCUCAAGCAGCUGAUAUCAGCAAAGGAUGCCACCAUCAAGGAACUCCGAGCUUCCAAGAAAUCCAUUGUCCAGGAGUUAGAGACUGCUCGACUGGCUGCUAAAGUUGCCGAAGAAACUUCUGUUACUUUCAAAGCCCAGCGCGACAGAGCCAUGGACAAGGCUAUUCGGGCGGGACGAAUCUUGAUGAGGAGACCCGGCGUGGUUGUUCCUGAAGACAUAAGGGCUGAUGUGAAUGCUGCCCCUGAUUCCUCGAGUCGCCCUUCUUCGUCGGUCGCUCCUGAGAAAGACAUUGCGAAAUAGAGAAACAUUUUGCGUGCUUUGAGCGCGCGGUUAGCAUGAUCGAGUAUUUGUUAAAAGACAUCAGUUCAGCAUUCGAAUGAUAUAAUUACUCUCUUAUUGUAUCAGAAUUCAUCAGUUCGUAAAUCUGCAGUAAUGAAAUGACGCACGAUGAUUAUGAAAUUUGUUUGCGGGAUAUAGAAGUCAUCCCCUGAAUUGCAUAGGCAUGAGCAUGUUGCGCCGGCUUAAGUCGCCACUGACUUUAGCCGAUUGCUCCAUUAGUAGGGCAUAGUGGUCACCCCGAGUUAAGUAAGCGUGAGCAUGUUGCACCGGCUUAAGUCGUUGCCGACUUAAGUCGAUUGCUCCGUUAGUAGGGCACAGUGGUCACCCCGAGUUAAGUAGGCGUGAGCAUGUUGCACCGCCUUAAGUCAUUGCCGACUUAAGUCGAUUGCUCCGUUAGUAGGGCAUAGUGGUCACCCCGAGUUAAGUAAGCGUGAGCAUGUUGCACCGGCUUAAGUCGUUGCCGACUUAAGUCGAUUGCUCCGUUAGUAGGGCAUAGUGGUCACCCCGAGUUAAGUAGGCGUGAGCAUGUUGCACCGCCUUAAGUCGUUGCCGACUUAAGUCGAUUGCUCCGUUAGUAGGGCAUAGUGGUCACCCCGAGUUAAGUAAGAAUGCGAGUCAAUCGUAAAUGAACUGAGUAUCUUUGAAACCUCUUUUUUAUUGAUGAUAUAUUUCCACUUUACAGAGUACAUCGUCGUCCCAGCAGUUUUGAAUUACAGCUAGGGAUAAAACUUUCUGAGGUGUUCUAUGUUUCAGGAGUUCCCAACUUCUGUGCCAUCCAUCUGAGUGAGACGAUACGAUCCGGGCUGAGUGACUUCUGCUACCAUGAAGGGUCCUUCCCAUAAGGGUGAUAACUUGUGUCGACCCUCCCCCGUUAGAAUUCGGCGAAGGACGAGAUCUCCUACUGAGAAGAAUCGUUGUCACACAGCCUUGUCGUGAUAGCGCCUUAGAGUCUGCUGGUACCGUGCUGAUUGGAUUACUGCGUUAAGUCGUUCUUCUUCGAGUACAUCAAUGUCCUCCAGCCUGGUGGCCUCAGCUUCUGCUAUGCUUUCGAAGAUCAACCUUGGCGCCCCAAACUUGAGAUCGGCGGGUAGCACUGCCUCCGACCCAUAGACCAUGAAGAAAGGAGUGUUUCCAUGCAGGGCUCGGCUAGGUUGGGUUCUUAGGCUCCAAACGACAUAGGGCAAUUCCCUUAUCCACUUUCCUGCGAAUUUUUCAUUCUUGUCGAAGACCUUUUUCCUGAGUGCCUCCAGUAUCAUCCCGUUGGCUCGCUCAACCUGCCCGUUGGCUCGUGGAUGUGCUACAGAUGCAUACCUGAUCUGAAUGCUCUUUUGCUCGCAGAAGUCGAAGAAUUCUGAACUUGUGAAGUUGGAUCCUAAGUCAGUUAUGAUGCUGUUUGGUAUCCCGAAUCUGAAAAUUAUAUCUUGUAUGAAUUCCACGGCCUUAGCAGAGGUUAAAGAAGCAAUGGGCUUGAACUCUAUCCAUUUAGUGAAUUUGUCGAUCGCCACCAAUACAUGAGUGUAUCCCCCUUGAGCUUUCUUGAAAGGUCCAAUCAUAUCCAGUCCCCAGCAUGCGAAAGGCCAAGUUACUGGUAUGGUCUGCAGUUGCUGUGCUGGCAUGUGUUGUUGCUUUGACAAGUAUUGGCAAGCUUCGCACCUCUGAACUAACUCGGUUGCAUCGUUCUUGCUGUUGGCCAAUAGAAUCCUGAUCUGAAGACCUUCCCGACUAGUGUUCUGGAGGCUGCAUGUAUUCCACAUUGCCCAGCAUGGACCUCCUCUAGAAGUUGCUUCCCAGUGGACGGGAGAAUGCACUUCAUGAGGACGCCUGAUGCACCCCUUCUGUAUAAUGUCUCCCCAACGAGUGUAUAGUGAGCCGACUGUCUGGCAAUGCGUUCUGUCGAGUUCUUGUCGUCUGGUUCUUCUUCGUUCUUUAUAUACUUAAUGAUCGGCCUUCUCCAGUCAUCAGAGUCUGACUCGGGUUGAUCUAUGAUGUUGCAUUCCUCUGUUUGAUCCAUUGAGAUACUCGGCUGUAGAAUUUCUUGCACAAAGACUCCGGGUGGGACCUGAGUUCGACUGGAUUCUAGCUUGGACAGUACAUCGGCUGCUGUGUUCCGAUCUCUUUCUACAUGAUGAAAUUCCAGACCCUCGAAUUUAUCUUCCAACUUUCGGACGGCAGCGCAGUAUCUUCCCAUUGAAUCGCUUGAACAAUCCCAUUCCUUGUUUAUCUGGCUGAUGACUACCAGAGAAUCUCCAUAUACCAUCAAUCUCUUGACGCCCAAUGAUAUGGCGAUGUUCAAUCCAUGGAUCAGAGCUUCAUAUUCGGCUGCAUUGUUGGAGGCCGGAAAUAGCAGCUGGAGGGCGUACUUGAGGUGUUCGCCUCCAGGUGCGGUGAAGAGAAUCCCUGCUCCUGCUCCCUGCAGCUUCAGCGAGCCAUCAAAAUACAUUCGCCAUACUUCUGCAGUCUCUGGGUUAUCUGGUACUUGCUGUUCAGUCCACUCUGAUACGAAAUCAACCAGUGCUUGAGUUUUGAUGGCAGUGCGAGGUCGGAACUCGAUGUCAUGAGAUCCCAGCUCGCAAGCUCACUUGGCUAUUCGGCCAAUGGCUUCCUUGUUGUGAAGAAUAUCCCCUAUUGGAAAACCAGUGACUACUAUGAUUUUGUGGUCAUCAAAGUAGUGACGCAGCUUACAGGCAGUUAGAAGUACUGCGUAUAAUAGCUUCUGAACUUGAGGAUACUUUUUCUUUGAGGGGCCUAGAACUUCACUGAUGAAGUAAACAGGAUGUUGUACUGGAUAGGCAUGUCCUUCUUCUACUCGCUCGACUACCAACGCGGUGCUUACCACGUGAGUCGUGCAAGAGAUAUACAGUAGCAAAUCUUCAGCUGGUUGAGUUGACAUAGCUCGCCGAGGUGGCUUCAGUACUGGUGGUGUUGUCAAGAAUUUUUUCAGUGCAUCUAAAGCUUCUUGUGCUUCUGAAGUCCAUUGAAACUUAUCCACCCUCUUGAGUAGCUUGUAAAAUGGCAAACCUUUUUCCCCCAGCCUGGAUAUAAAUCUGCUCAGAGCUGCCAUACAUCCAGUAAGUCGCUGAACCUUCUUUUGUGAUCGAGGAGCUUCCAUUUUCAUGAUAGCCUCAAUCUUAUCCGGAUUAGCCUCAAUUCCUCGGUGGCUGACGAUAACCCGAGCAACUUUCCUGUUGGUACCCCGAAAACACAUUUUUCGGGAUUAAGCUUCCAUCUAUAUCGUCUCAGGCUAUUGAAAACCAGCUGUAAGUCUUCGAUGAAGUUUUCCGAAUUCUCCAUUUUUAUUACCACAUCAUCUACGUAGGCCUCCACACGCUUGCCCCAGUGAUUGGCUAAGCAUGUUUGAAUGGCUCUCUGAUAAGUCGCUCCAGCGUUUUUGAGGCCGAACGGCAUGGAGGUAUAACAAAAAGCACCAAACGGAGUGAUGAACGCCGUUUUUUCCUCGUCUUCCUUCGCCAAACUAAUCUGAUGAUACCCGGAAUAGCAAUCUAAGAAAGACAGCACAGAACAUCCAGCGGUGGAGUCCACCACCUGAUCUAUCCUUGGGAGCCCGAAGGGAUCCUUCGGACAGUGUUUGUUGAGAUCAGUAUAGUCGACGCACAUGCGCCAAUCCACUUUAUUCUUUUUGAGUACAAGAACAGGGUUGGCUAACCACUCGGGGUGUAAUACUUCUCUAAUAAAUCCAGCCGCGACCAAGCGAGCUAACUCGGCACGAAUGGCCUCUCUCUUGUCGGGCGUGAAACGACGUAGCUUUUGCCGAAUCGGCCUCGCCUGGGGAUAGACCUUCAGUUUGUGCUCGGGCAGUUCUCUUGGGACUCCCGGCAUAUCCGCAGGUUGCCAUGCGAAUACAUCUCGGUUAUCUUGCAGAAACUGGACGAGCGCGCUUUCCUAUUUGUCGUCCAAGCUGGAGCUGAUGAUAGCCGUCUUGCGCUCAUCAGCGAACCCCAGGUUGAUUCUCUUGGUUUCUUCAGUCGGCCGCAUAGAGGUCACGGCCUGAGCUUCGUUUGCCGGUACUGCGAGGUCCUCCUCAGGCUUAGAGUUCGCCAGUGUAGAAGGAACCGUCGACGGCUUGGUGGUGAGGGCUGCUUGGAUGGCCCCUCGGAAACACUCUGCGGCACCUUGGAAGUCGGCGCGCACAGUUAUGAUUCCUUGCGGUCCUGGCAUCUUCAGUAUCAUGUAUGUGUAAUGCGGAAUGGCCAUGAAUUUGGUCAAUCCUGGUCUUCCGAUGAUGGCGUUGUACCCGCAGUCGAAGUUCGCCACUUCGAACCUCAGGAACUCGGUUCUGUAGUUCUCCGGAGUUCCGAAGGUGACUGGCAUGUAGAUGUGGCCCAGCGGGUAUUCCCCUUCCGUCGGCACGAUGCCGAAGAAAGGAGUGUCUGACUCGUGGAGCUCUUUGAGGUGAACUCCCAAGCCUUGGAGUGUCCGGGGGAAGGUGACGUUGAUGCUGCUCCCCCCGUCCACUAGCACCUUCUUUACCCGGCUCUCUCGGAUCACCGGAUCGACGAGGAGCGGGUAUUUGCCUGGAUGGUCGAAGUUGAGCCAUUGAUCCUCCCGAGUGAAAGUGAUCGGGUGUUCCGACCACCGGUAUGGGGCGGGAGGACCGGUGGUCACCACCAGUAUCUGGCGGUCGUUGAGCUUUUGUUGUCUUUUGUUCUCCUGCGACCCAUGUCCACCGAAGAUGACGUUGACCUCCCUGUCGACGCAUGGGAAAGCUCCUCCUCCUCCCUCCUCCUGCUGAUGGGGUUGUCGUGGCUCAUCUGGUCCUCCCCUCGGCGGAGGAGGAGGUAGAGGUUGGAAGGGUCGGUCGUGUCCGACGGAAUGCUUGAAGUCCCGACAGUUACGAAGAGUGUGGCGCAUGUCCUUGUGGUACGGGCACUGGGCGUCGAGGAUGUCGUCCAGCGUGCGUUCGCCUCCACAAGGUCCUCCUCGGGCGCGAGAGGCAGGUGGUCCGGCGGCAUGUACAUCUUCGCGAGGCCUCUUCUCCCAUCGUUUGUCGGGUUGCUGGUUCGCGUCGCGUCGUGGGGCUACCGGUGCGGGCUUUGUCCCUCCGAUGAGGUCCUGGGCCCGCUCGUCGGCGGUGAUGUAGAGGUCGGCUUCCCGGAACAGCUCCUCGGAAGUAGUCGGCGCCUUCUGUAGUAUGGCUCGGACGAAAGCCGAGUCGUUGGAUCCUCUGUAGAAGUCCUCGAUCACGGCCGCCUCCGUGACCUCGGGGAUACGAUUUCUCAUGGUCUGGAACCUUUUGAGGUACGACCGGAGAGUCUCAUCCCCCCGGCGCUUGAUGGAUUUGAGGUCCCACGGUUGUGCCGGCUUGUCGGAGAGGGACUGGAAGUUGGCGGUGAAGCGUCGACUGAAGUCCCCCCAGUCGUCGAUGCAGUGUCGGGGUAGAUGUCGCAGCCAUUGCAGCGCGUCUUGCCCAAGGACGAUGGGUAAAUACGCGGUCAUCACAUCUUCGGACGCCCCGGCAGCUCGAGCAGCGGUGGUGUAGACGGCUAGCCAACCCCCUGGAUCCUUCUUAGGUUCAUAUUUGUCGACAUUGGAUAUCUUGAAGUUGGGAGGCCAUUGGAUGGCCCUAAGGCGCGGAGUGAGAGCGGACACUCCGCACGUGUCCUCCUGUCGUCGGAGAUGAUGUCUGUCCCGGGGAGGGGAGUUACGGUUAUGGUUCCUCGACCGUCCCCGGGUGGUACCGCCAGUUGAGGCUGUUGCCGACUCAGUUCUGGUGGCCUGGCUCUGAGCCGGGAUGCCAUGAUCCCUGUCGUAUUCCUCUCGGCGGCGAAUCUCGUUCUCAUGCCGCUGUUCGCAUGAAGCAUUGAUGGAGCUUCGCGCGUCUCGGCGGCUGUUGAUGGCGUGUCAUAGAUCGUUCGGUGGGUGUAUAGGUGUACAUUUGUGAUGUGCCUAAUAGGCCGGCCCAAAGCACACAAUUUUUGGCACGGCCUAUAUCUGGCACGGCCCAACCUAAUUGUGGGCCUGGGACGGCACGGCCCACAUUGUGGGCCGUGCCUGGGCCUCAAGUCAAGCCCACGGGCCGGCCUGGCACGGCCCAUUUAACUAAGGCCCACUGAGGCCCACUAAAUAUAGACUCAGUAUUUAACUAAGGUCCAUCAAAUCCCACAUAACUAGCAUAACUUGGAGAAUCUAGAGCUUCAAUAAGCCAUCGAGAACCAAUACCUAUAUAUGGAUAGUGAAUAGUGAUGAUGAUCAUUGUAUAUGUAUUCUGUAUGGAUGUAUAGUACUCAAUUAAACACUAAACAGUGAACUGAAUAUUAUUUGUGAGCUAGUUGUAAUUUUUUUUCUUUCUGACCAAAGGUUUAUAAUGUGCAUCCACAAAACAUCUUAGUUUUAUUUUGGUUAUAUAUAUAUUAUACUUUUUGUUGAUGUAUUACUGUUGUAUGUAUAUGGGCCGGUCUGGCACAUUAAGACAUUUUGGGCUAUUUGGGCCGGCCUGGCACACAUAACUAAUUGUGGGCCAUGCCGUGGGCCGAUGACUGGGCACACGUGCUGGCACGGCACGGCCCAUAAUUGGAUAUGUGCUUUUGUGGGCCGUGCCUUUGUGGGCCGUGCUUUUAUGGGCCUGUGCCGUGCCAGGCCAGGCCGGCCCACAUGUACAUGUAUAGGUGGGUGAGCAAGCGGCAGAAGAUGGUUGGUCGCCUGGGUGAACAGUCGUCGGUAGCCCUCAGCGUCGGGAGUCCGAGGAAGUCCAUCAGCUAUCCGAGCUAGUACCCCUCCGACUUCGCUCGGCGUGUUCAUAGCUCGGGCGAAGUCGGGAUUCAAGUUGCGCCCGAAGAAUGGAUUCUCCCGGCGUUGCCUUGCAUCUUGCUCAGCUUGUUCCUGAGCCCGUCGGCGAUCACGUCGUCGGGAGUUCCUUCGUUCUCUGAAGACGCGUUCUUCCGGAGUUUCUCUUAUCUCCGAGACCUCGUCUCGCGAGACAGGCUGCUCCGGAUCCCGUUCUCCGGCCGCGUGAUGUCGUCGAACGUUCCUGCGCCGAUUCCUCCGUCGGCGGGAUUCUCGUUGAGGCGGUUCUUCUCCAGGUGCGGUUGGCUCGUCGUCGGAGACGGUAGGCGACUCCACCCUCCCGAUGAAGAGGACAUCGGGGUAGAAUGGCGCUGCUGUCGUGGCGACCUUCUUUCCAUUCUCCUUUGAGGCCGGAGGAACGGAAAGAACAACUUGCUUCUCCCUGGUCUCCUUCUUCUUCGCGAUCUGUGUCCAUUCUUUUGUCGGAGAAGUAGACGGUGGAGUUCUCCGGGUCAGCGAGUCCUCGGCCCCCGACUUUCCGGAGACGAUCUUUUUCCGGAGAGCUGGAGGUUGCGCUUCUCCGGCAUUUUCGGAGUUCGUUGGAGGAGACUUCUUUUCCGGCGGAUCUGCGAUACGGUGUAGAAUUCCCUCUUCAUCCGCUACAGAUGAGAUUGUUCCGAAGCAGAAUACGGAUCCGGGACGCAGGGUGAUCUUGCUGUAGAAGGUGACGGCCAUUGAGCUAGCUUGGAUCGUCGACACACCCCCUACCUGGCGCGCCAGCUGUCGGUGUUUUGGGUCCGACCGCACACCCGGGGUUGCCCCUCAAGGUGUUUUUAGGAGUAGGACGAUGUCGACAACUGUAGCAAAAUGGUUCGUGCCGAUUGCACGAGGAACAGUGGACAAGGUUUACAGGUUCGGGCCGCUUAGAGAUGCGUAACACCCUACGUCCUGGUGAGUAUGCUUGGUGAAUGUGGUUACAAGAGAGCUCUCUGGAUUGAGAAUACAGAGAGUUGACGUGGGUGGCUAAGUAAUAGGGUCGAUCGUUCUGAAGGGGUGCCCCCUAGGCCUUAUAUACUCGACCGUGGGGCAAUACAUGUGGAUAUGAUAACAACGAGUAGCUAGAAGAUAGUGAACUGCUUGAGUUUAUCUCCAUGUAAUCCUGCUGACUUAUCCUCGCAUGGCUCCGUUGCAUGGGGGCUCCAGCGCGGGAGAGUCGGACCUCUGUUGUGGUCACUCGCUCGACGUUGUGGGUCGUCCGGGUUUGCACCAAUCCGGCCUCAUGUCGAUCUGCUCUGCUGGUUGUCUCUCCCCAGGCCCACGAAAGAAUGACCUUACGAUUUAUUGGGCCCUUGGGCCUUUCGUGAGGUCUUUUACUCUUUUAGUGGACCCGGGGGGAUAUCUAUCCCCCACACCUAGGCACAUUCAAUAGAUCAAAUCAUCUCCAAGCCAUCAAAUCAACUCAGUUUCAUUAGGGACUUGAGAGAGGGUGUUUUGUGUUCUUUUGUUGCUCUUGUCACUUGGAUUGGCCUUUUCUUUUCCCUUUUAUUUCUCAAGUGACUUGUAAUCGAAGCAAGAGACACCUAAGUAUGUAGUGGUCCUUGCGGGGUCUAAGUGACCCGAGAGAUUAAGGAAAAGGCUCACUCGGUCUAAGUGACCGUUUGAGAGAGGGAAAUGGUUGAAAUAGACCCGGUCUUUGUGACCUCCUCAAUGGGGACUAGGUUUUUUGGAACCGAACCUCAGUAAAACAAAUCACCAUGUUCACUCUCCUUGAUUCUUGUUUGAUUUGUUUUCCCGUCUCUAACGUUUCCUUGCUAGUGUGAAUUUGAGUUGGCUCCCAUAAGUCAUCUGCAAUCCUUGAGCAACUCCUAGCAAGAGAGAUAUUUUUUUGGACUUGAAUUUAAUUCUAAUGCUAACCCCCGACCUUAGUGUGUGUUUAAGUUUAUAAAUUUCAGGUUUCGCCUAUUCACCCCCCCUCUAGGCGACUUUCAUUGUGUUAAUUGGAACAUGGAGAACCACCCGGGAAAACAGUGCUACCACAAGGGUGGUAUGGGACACUCUUGGCUGACCAAUUAGGAAAGCUAGUCUAGGACUACCUUACUCGAAAGGGGCAAGGGAGGUAGAGGAGCUGCCGAUAUAGGGAGGUUCUCGGAUCGAUCAUACGACUAUGACUUUUUGGACGAUGGAUUCCUAUAUCUCCCUUCUCAAAAACCAUAUCGGGUUUUCUAAAGCUAGUGGAACUUUGUAAAGACCUCAUAGUGCUACCCUGCCUCGUCUCCUCGGUAUAGAUGUAUGGGAUUCAUGACCCUAGCAAAUGGGUAACACGAUUUGUGGGUAAAGAUGCACAACCUCUGCAGAGUGUAAAACCGGUAUAUCAGUUGUGCUCACGGUCAAGAGCAGCUCAGACACUCACAUGAGUAACUUAUGAAAUUUAACUUAAUUUAUCAUUUGCAUUGCAUUGUGGGAUCUAUUAUUAAUUGUGAAUUCUUAUUUAAUUGGGCUGGUAUCUACUUGUACUUAGUAACUGCUAAUAAAACUUUGAGCAACUUAUUAAAAUCAAUGUGCAGCCUUAACCAUCUUCUUUGGUAAGUGUUACACUUCACAUGAGCCCACACCGUAAGUGAGCUCAUGCACAUUAUUUCCCACAACUUGUUGAGCGAUGAAUGUAUGUGAGCUCACCUUGCUGUACUCAUACCCCUAGGUCAAGAAUAGUACCGUAAGAUAAGGAGCAUGAAGGAUCCUGCGAUAAGUUCGUGAGAAGUCUAGGUCGUCGUCUCCCAGACAACUAUGAUUGCGAAGGAUCGUUGUCGUUAUAUGAUAUAAUUAUUUAGUUAUUUUAUACAGAAAUCCUAUUAAGUAAUAAAGAUGUGGCAUUGCUUUCUGUACCAUGAGUCAUCAUAUGUGUGAUACUUGAUCCUAACACAUAUUUGAUUCGCGCUCGGAUUUGACCUUAAAUUCGGGUGUGACAUAAAGCUAGCAAGAGACCUAAGUGUGUGGUGAUCCUUGCAGGAUCUAACUGACCUUCGAGAUUGAGAAGAACACUCAACCGGUCUAAGUGGUCAUUUAAGAGAGGGAAAGGGUUAAAAGAGUCCCGUCCCUGGUGGACUCCUUAAUGGGGAGUAGGUUAUUCGUAACCGAACCUCGGAAAACAAAUCGCACGUGUUCUUUGUAUUUGAUUCUUGGUUGUGAUUUGUUUCUUCCUCUCCCUUCUCUUUAGUUCUCUUGCUUGCUUUUGAUUUCGUAUCAACUAAGUUGCUUUCAAAGUAAUCUGCAAUCAUUUGAGCAACUUGCCUAAGAACUCUCUCUCCCGCACUCCAAUCGUUCUUAUUUUCGUUCUAGCGCUAAUCCGGAGUUGAAGCUUGUGUUUUAAGUUUAAAAUUUUAAGUUUCACCUAUUUACUCUACCUCGGGACUUUCACGCGCAUUGUGACCUGUCUAAGACCAGCUCCGGUAGUUUACCCUCUCCAUCCGUAAAUCAAUCCAUCCAUUCGCAACAACAGUAUGUUCAUCCUUCUCCUCCUUCCAGCAGCGACUCGCAUCCCUCUCCGUAUCGAGCGAUGAUUGGCUUGCGUGCCACCAGACGAAGAGCAAUAGUUGGCCACGGUUGUCGCUACCAGCAUCCGUCGCCACGUCCGUCACGCACUACGCCGCCAGAGCCACGUCCGACAAAAAAAGGCGCUCACGAGCGAGCGAUGGAGCGGCCACUGCAGUCGGCUUCUUUCUUGGCCUAAGUCGGGACAUGACGCGAGAUGGUGCCGUUGCUGGUGAACUCAUGCUCCCGGCGGUGGACGUGAGCUCCCGGCGCUGGUGGACUCGGUGGAGGGGCUCCUGGGCAGUGGGCACGGACUGUUGGUCCGAGAUAGGAAUCCCAGUCCACACGUCACCCCUGUUGCCGAAGGAACAAGAACAAGCCACCGGCCACCCCAAAAUUAGUUGUCAACCCCAUCGCUUCAUUCACGUACUCAUGUCUCCUCCACCGCCCUUGCUUGCUAAAAAAAAACUGCAACUACAAUGCCCUCGACGAACCUCCGCAGCGCCCGGCAAUCAACCUCAUGCUGGAUUUGCUCCAGACGUCGACGUUGCGCCUGUACCGCGUGUGGGGACGAUGAGCGCUCCCUGACGCUGUCUUGGGAGAGCUGCAAGAUGAGACACUCCAUCCCGCGCAGCCCUGUCGUGGCGUCCUCCUGGAUGGACACCUGCAUCGCUGUCGCCCUCCACCAACUCACCUGAACGAAGAAUAGAAUAAAAAAUGGAGGGAGCUGAGGGGGCAGUGGUUGCGCUGUAGGGAGGAGAGAGACCGCGUCAUUAUAAGACUAUCUGCAACCGUUACCUCUAAAUUUUUCCCUCUAUAUCAUUUUUUCCCCAUAUUUUCCCCCCUAUUUUUUCAUCUCCCGCAACGGUUUCUCCUAAAUACUCCCCCUAUAUCUCACUACCACUAUAAAAUAUUAUUUUUUAUACCAACUAUCAAUUUUUUAUCUACUAACAAUUACUCGUGGACCCACAGCACAGUGUUUAGGAGAUGAACAGUGACACGCUAUAUCUGGGGGGAGAGAGAAAGAGGCCGGCGCGUAGGGGGCGCCGUAGGGGCACUGCUGCGGCUGUAGAGUACCCCCUACACGCCGCAUGCAAGGGAAGGGGGCAAUGUUGCGCAUAGCCUAAAGAGCGGAUGAAGCGGCUUGCAAUUUGCACGCUGGAUUCAUAAAUAGUGCAUAUUACUAAAAAAAAGGGUGGGGAUAGGUAUAGAGAGUCUAUUAGAGUUGAUCUAAGACCCGGUUUAUUUCAGAUUAUAAUCUGUCCGGAUUAUAUAAUCCAGCGCAAAUAAUACAGUAGGUAAACAAACAACUAGAUUAUGGGUUCAGAUUAUAUAAUCUAAACCCCAGAUUAUGAUAAUCUCAUAAUCUCCUCAAGAGUAGCUUAUUGGAGAUUAUUUUGGCAAAAGACCCACUACCCAUGGUUAUGUAAAUAGAAAUUAUAAUAUAUAUCAUCUUUUUUCUCACCUUAAAUAAACAAAUAAGGGUAUUGUUGUCUUUAUGAAUAAUCUACAUUUGUAUAAUCUAAACUACCAAACAACUACAUCUAGAUUAUAAUCUGGAUUAUAUAAUUUAAAUUAUAAUCUAGAUUAUAUAAUUUAUAAGCUGAAACAACCCGGCCCUAAAGCACUAUCGUAUCACCUAUCUGAAAUAAGUCACGGGUUUCGAACGUCCACUUGCGUCGCACGGAAUUGCAUGUUUCUUGUUGGAAGCAUAUUCACGCAAUCUCCACACAUAAAGGUUUAUGUAUAAACUUACAUUUAGCUCAGUUUAAUUACAGUCUUAUUUGGAUGCAUAUGUAUGGUUCUCAAUCCAUAUAAGUUAGAGUAAAAAAUAAGUUUAAAUUUUAUCUUAAUUCACUCCAACAUAUAUGGAUUGAGUACAAUACUCAUGUGCAUCCAAACAAACUACUUAUAUUGAGGUGAAUUUGGAUAGAAAUUAAACUAACUUACACACUAAGCCAAUCUUUACUAUAUUAAAGCACCAGUUUCAACGAUCGUCCCGCGUCAAUAUUAUUAAAAAACUCCUACAUUUCUUUAUAAUCAACCCGCACUCUUAUAAUCUCUUCUCUACUACUAUAAUAAGAGAGUUUAUGUACAAAAUAAGGUGAAAUUAUGUAUAAGUGUUCUGGAUAUUGGUUGUUGGCUCCAUAUUCACACAACCUAAUCAAUAGAAAACAUAUGUUUUAUUAAAACAAAAUUUAUCAUAUAUCAUAUAUAUAUAUAUAUAUAUAUAUAUAUAUAUAUAUAUAUAUAUAUAUAUAUAUAUAUAUAUAUAUAUAUAUAUAUAUAUAAACCGUAGCAAUGCACGGGCAUAUAACUAGUGCAACUUAAUACAUGUGUGUAUUAAGAUGAAUAAGAGGGUAUCCAAAUAAAAAACUUGUUCGCUUACGUCUGGAUCGAAAGGGGUUGGAAACGAUUAAAUCUCUUCCUAGUCAAAAUUGAAUAGAAGGAGAUUUAAUCUCUCCCAAUCCCUUUCGAUCAUCCAGGUGCAACCGUAUAAGUCCUAAAGUGGUGAGGAACACGAAACAACCAUGCAUUGGCAUGUAAAGCUCCAAGAAUUUGUUGUAUCCUUAACAACUCACAGAACAUCAACCAAAAUUGCACGUCAAGGGUAUUGGGUAAGAAACAAUCAAACAAAUCCUCUCUGUGUGCAAAGAAACACGGUGAGUCAUGCCGAGAUCAUACUCAUCUGAUAUACAUGCUUACAGCUCACAAGACAUUACAAACAACUCAUAUUGCAUUACAAAGAUCGUUUCAUGAAAAAUAAAAUAGGCCGGACAGGACAAAAAUCCUUGACGUGUAAAGUAAAUUUACAACAAAAAAAAGCCAUAUGUCAAGCUAAAUCUAAUUCGUUUUACGUAGAUCAACAACCUGUAGAAGGCAACAAAACUGAGCCACGCAGAAGUACAGAAUGAUUCCAGAUGAACCAUCGACGUGCUACGUAAAGAGAGUGACGAGUCAUAUACAUUUGGCAAGAAACCAUGAAGCUGCCUACAGCCGUCUCGGUGGCAUAAGAACACAAGAAAUUGUGUUAAUUAAUCAAAGCUAUAAAUAACGCUCGCAUGCCUGUGCACUUCUCCAUCACCACCACUGGGUCUUCAGACCAUUAGCUUUAUCUACUCCAGAGCGCAGAAGAACCCGAUCGACACCAUGAGGGUGUUGCUCGUUGCCCUCGCUCUCCUGGCUCUCGCUGCGAGCGCCACCUCCACGCAUACAAGCGGCGGCUGCGGCUGCCAGCCACCGCCGCCGGUUCAUCUACCGCCGCCGGUGCAUCUGCCACCUCCGGUUCACCUGCCACCUCCGGUGCAUCUCCCACCGCCGGUCCACCUGCCGCCGCCGGUCCACCUGCCACCGCCGGUCCAUGUGCCGCCGCCGGUUCAUCUGCCGCCGCCACCAUGCCACUACCCUACUCAACCGCCCCGGCCUCAGCCUCAUCCCCAGCCACACCCAUGCCCGUGCCAACAGCCGCAUCCAAGCCCGUGCCAGCUGCAGGGAACCUGCGGCGUUGGCAGCAC